GAGAGAGAGAGAGAGUAAAAAAAAGUGUUUCAUAAUCUCUUCGCUAAAACAACACAGCAAAAGAUAGAAACUGCUUGAUUACAGGAUAUUCUGAUGCCUAAACAGCAUGAGAAGGGAGCAGAGCCACAAAGAAAGACCAAUGACUCCAAUUCUGAGUUCAAUAGUAUAGGGGGCAAACUCUUAUUAAUUUACUCAAUCACUCCAGUGAUAGGAAGGACCAUUGCAAGGUGCAAUGAUGGAGUAGCAAGUUUUUUAGGCCAAAACAAAAUUAUAUAGAAUUAAUAUUAGAGACUUUUUGAAACAGAGUAGCAUUUUUGGAAUUAAUAUUAGAGAAUUUUAGCAUAGAGAAAGCCUCUUGCAAAUGAAGUGGUUUCCCUAAGUUCUAUAGGAAAUAUCAUUUCAUACACAUGCCACACGGAGUCGUCGACUUACAACCACAAAAACAAAGGUUCAAGUUGUGAGGACUGCAACCUGAUAACUUAUGUCAAAAUUCUCAUCCAGUGAAUGUAUGAGUAGAGUUUUAGGUUCCAUAACCAAGAAAAGCAGUAUGAGAACAAUUGGUGCAUACAACUUCAAAAGAAAGUACAUACCACGACACUGAUAUUCAAAAUGAGAAAGCACAUGAGAGGUGAUUUGAAGAUGCAGCCCAAAUCAAUCAAUAAUAUUCAGUAGAAAUCAUUUCAAACUUGCUUUGCUUUUGUAACAAUGAUGCGAGGAAGUGAUAUAUAAAUAAAGCACCCACUUGUUAAAUUCAAAUGUGAUUUCCAUUAUCAGACGGGCGAAGAAUUAGAGCCAUUUCAGCAUAUACCAACAAAUCUAGGAGUUGCACCACCGUAAGGUAUGUUUAGUGGUAGGCACAUGGAAAUUAAUAAAUAAAAAUUAAGUUAAUUCAACCAUGACUAAUGGACAAAUAUCAUUCCUCUUCUGCUAAUUGAUAUUUACCAUUUACACUAGUACUGGUAGAAGAAACUAAAUCAAAACCAACGACAGCACAGUAAAGUCAAUUUCAAUAGAGCAAAUGAAUUUGUAGAGCUGCUAAAUUACCUUGCAACUAGCAACUAAAUCCAUCUUUCAACGUCCAAAAAACCAAAAUUAGACCGCGGAUUAGUAGAUAAGCAAAGCAAGCACACCAGCUUGUACAGUCACGGAACAGCGAUCGAUCUAUUGAAAAAUAAACCUACCACACAACUUGAAUAAUUGGAAUUAUCAAUCUUAGAUGCAUAAUCAUUUAAUUACAAAAACGAACAGAGUAGAAAAUAAAAUCAAAUAAAAUAAAAAACACUUACGUAUUUUGAUGAUAAAAUUCAGUAAAAAAGAUAGAGAUUGGGGAUGAACUAGGGUUUCAAACGCGUUUUGCUUGUUUCAAGAAGGAAAAAACAACACACCAACAACUACCUUCUAAUUACAAAAGGUCCCGGACCUAUCGGCGAUUAUCAAAUCCGGUUUUUUUAACGGGAACGCGUCCGGGUUUCGUUUCUCUACUUUUCGCGUUUUGCUCUGCCUGCGUGUCGUGCGAUGAUGCACGCCCUUACGUUGUCUCUCUCUCUCACGUGCGAAUUUCUAGAGGGGAAUAAUUAACAUUAACAAAUAACAAACCCUUAAUUAGGGGUGUUCACGGUUCGGUUCGGUUUGGUUUUAACUUAAAAAUUCAACCGAACUGGAAAAUAAUAUUCCUUAUCAAUAUGACCCGGACCGAACCGAGAACCGGUUCAGACCGAACUAAUUUUGUGCGGUUCGGGUCGGUUUUUUAGUAUUAAAAACCGGAAAAACCGGAAACCAAUUAAAUAGGCUUUUUUUUUACUGUUGUCGUUAUACCAAAGCCUUGUAAUUCCUUCAUUUCACAAUGAAUCAAAGAUCAGAGAGAUGCUUAGAUCUGCAAAUGCAUGUGGAGCCAUUAUAACCACCAAAAAAGGUGCAAUCCCUGCUCUUCCAACACCAGAUGAAGUCCACAAACACAAAUUUCUAUUACUUUCCACUCAAUAAAAAAGGACUCCAUUCAGAUGAAAAGAUCUAGAUCGAGCUUGAAAAACUGAAACCGGUUCUUGAUGUGUGGGUUGUUGUCGGUGGUUGUUGAUUGGAGAAAAGUGAAGGUUGUGGAUGGCACUGCUAUAUGGAAGACGAUCUAGAUCGGGCCUGAAAAACUGAAACCGGUUCUUGAUGUAUGGGUUGUUGUCUGUGGUUGAUGAUAGGAGUAAAGUGAAGGUUGUGGAUGACGCUACCAUAUGAAAGACCAGAGAGUGGUGGUAGGAGGAGGUGAGAAGCUCUGGUGUAAAAAUUCAAAAAGAGGAUUUAAUGUUAGGUUAACAGGAGAGAAAAUGAGAGAGAGGAGAAGAGAAGAGAGGGAGGCGGCUGGAAAGUGAUGAAAUGAAUUAGGGUUAGGGAUGUUUGCUUUUAUACCUUGUUUUUUAAGUUUUUCAGAUUCAAUUGAACCGGUCCGGUUUGGUCCGGUUCAAUCGGCUUAAGCUUUUUGAAACCGAAACCGAACCGGACCGAGUGGUUUUGAAUAUUUUUUAAUCGAUUUAUUCGGUUUUUUCUAUCGGUUCGGUAUUUUCGGUUAAUUUUUUCUCAGUUUUUUCGGUUUAAUCGGUUGGUCGGUUUUUUUGAACACUCCUACCCUUGAUCAUCUGCGGACUCUUGACAUUUCACUAUUAACGUUACUGUUAAGAGUCAAUUUUUUCCUUCUUAAAUUCUAAAUUUCUUUCUUUAUACAGUUCAUUCACUUAGCUUUAUUCUUUUUAAUUUCAUCGUUUACACAGUUCUACAUACUGAUAUUUAUUUUAAUUUGUAUGAUCUCCUUACCUUAUAUUUUAUUAAAUAUUUCUACGUCUAAUUAAAAAUCAGUUUUACAAAAUUAAAUUUUAAAUUGUUUUUAAAUAGUUUUAAAUUUCAUGUUUCACACAAUUAGUUUUUUUAAUUUUUAUAUUUUAAUCAUAAAACUUUAUUUAUUUUUUAUUUCAAUCCAUGAACAUGGAAGGAAACAAAAAAUCAUCAAGAAACAAAAAAUAAGAGCGAAAACUCUCAAGUGACCACAUUUUAGCCACCAAUAACUAUGAUUUUGGUAUCUGUAAUAUUUUUAAGAAAAAUAACUUAAUGAAGGUGAUCUCUACCUUCAAUGAUGUCUAACAAUGUAGAUCCAUACUUGAUAAUUUUUUUGAUUUGAUUAGAUUUUAAAUUAUUAGUUUGAUUAAAAUAUAUUUUAUGGUUAGAAAUGAGGUUUUAGAGUUUCAUGUCUUGUUUUAUUUUUGUGUUUUUAAGUUAAAAAUGAUAAAGAUUUAGGCUUUUAGGAUCAAAAAACUUGGACUUGAUUUUUUCAUUACUAAAACCACCUUUGGUAGCCAUAUAACAUUAUAAAUGGAUGAUGGGUUAUUUAUCUAAGCAAACAACGUGUUAUCCAUUCAAUUUUAAAAAAUAAAGGCGGACAACGUGUUUGCUCUCUAAGAAACCUAGGAGCGCGGGAUUGAGAUUUUUAUUUAUAGGCGUUUGGCCUUUUUUAUAAUGUAAACACCUGUCAAAAAAAAAUAAUAAUAAAUUUUAUGUAAGGUGUAGAAAUUUAAAUAUACAUUGUGUGCAAACACGAAAACAAUCGCAAUGAGAAAUGGUAAGUAAAAAUAUUUGCGAUUAAAAAUUUAUCUGCAUUAGACCUUAAAUAAUUAAGAGAGUGGCAUUUUUGUAAAUAAAACAAAAACAACCCCUCCCUCUUUUAAAUAAUGAGCCAGCUAGAUUUAUUUAUUUCUUCUCAUUUUUUCUUUUGCUCUUCCCAAUCAAAAGGGUUAAGUUGUUUCAUGAAGGUGUUGAGUUAGGAUUUGAACAACCAAGUAAAGUCCAAAAGAAAUAAAGUGACGUGAAUAAUGUAGGUAGAGAGAGAAAGAGUGAUUUGAAGAGUGAAUGAAGAAAUCUUUGGAAGAGAUUGUGAAAGGAACUGGGCAAACUUGAUUAAUUGAUAUAGGUAAAGUAUCUUUCUUGAUUUAAUUUCAUUUAUGUUGUCAAAUUUUCAUAAGGAUUGAAAAUCCCUGAUAAUAUAUAAAUCAAAGUGUAUGUUGAAAUAGUGUUGGGAGAGAUCUUGCAUAUUGAUAAAUUUAUAUUGGUUUAAAUAAUGGGAUUAAGGGUGGAAAUGAAAGGGAAAAAAAAUCAAAUGGAAUGAGGUAAAUUGUAUGCUUGGGUGGCUGGCCAAGGGUAGAGGAAAAUAGUGGGGUUGUGACAUAAACUAGAUGAUGUUAACAUUGUUGAUUUAAUUGUGUUAUUAAAAAAGUUUGGGUUGGGUCAUGAUAUUUUAUAAAUUGUUAAGAAUAUGUCAACGAAGACUUAUUACAAUGAGAUUUAAUUAGUGCCAAUGUUUAGGUUGUGUUGUAAGAAUGAAUAAUAUAAGUACAAAUUUAUAUAGGUAAAUUGAAAUUUGAUUUACAAAGAGUAUGUGAGUGCAAAUGUGCAAGUUAGAUUGUAAGAAAAGUUAGUGUGAAUGUAUAUUUAAAUGAAUGCUUAAAUUCAAGGAAAUGUUUAUUAAAUAAAUUAAAAAUUUGACUAGUGAGAAGUUGGUGUUAUUAGGGGUUCAUCUAGAGUGGAGUCGAUACUCUUAAGAGCACGUCUCAAGAGCUCCAAGUAAAGGAUUGUCUCUACUCCUUGAAUGAUUUUAUUUUUUCAAAUUGAUGAAAGGUUAUAGCUUUCGUAUUAAUUGUUGGUUUUAAAACAAAGCAAGCCUUUGAGGCAUGAUAGUAGAUUCUAAGAAUUGAAUUGCUUCAAGGCAAGAAACUACAAUUUGAGAAUUGAAUUGCCUUCUGGGCAAGAUAAUAAAUUCAAGAGUGAAUUCCUUUCAGGACGAGAUAAUAAGUUUCAAGAAUUGGUUUGCCUAUAGGAUAGGAUGGGGAAAUUGAAGAAUUGAUUUACCUUCGGGGCAGGAUAAAGUAUUUCGAGAUUUGAAUUGUCUGUGGGCGGGAUAAUGUAUUAUAAGGAUUUAUCCUCUUUUAAGGCAAGACAUUAAAAUCCUAAGGAUUGAGUCGUUUGCUGGAAAGCUAUUGAGAAUGUUGUGAAGAUCAGUAAUAUAUGUUGUUAAACUGAGGAUAUAGUUAUAUAAAUUAAAUCCAAUAUUUUCUGAAAUAAUGAUUAUUUUUGUGUUUGAAGGAAACUAAGGGUAUCAGUAGAAGUAAAGAUUGUAUAUUGUGAAUGGUAAGGAAGGAUAAAUUUGAUAGUCGAUAUAAAGACUGAGAUCUAAGAGAUUAAAAUGUCCUAAACGUGUAAUUAUAAUAGUACAUGCAUACUUAUAUUUUGUAAUUUAAUUGUAUUUUAAAAGUACUUCACAUACAUCCCUCAAUAGUCUUUGGAUCAUCACAUCUUCAUUUUCUUGUGUAUUGUAUGAAUUGUGUUAGAUGUGUUUUAUGAAAAUAUUGGGAUUUAAGAAUAUAUUUUGAUGAGAGAUGAGCCCGAGGCCACCUUGAAUGAUUUGAAAGGAAUACACACAUUGUUUUUUUAUAUAUAUAGGAUUUAGUAUAAAAACAAAAAUUAUUUUGGUAGUGUUUCGAAUAGAAGAAAUACUACAAAAAUCUUAUAGAAAAUAAAUAAGUUUAGUAAUUGCAUAGUCUUUUGCAUGAUGAUCAGUUCUCAUAGUGAACUAAUAUGGUUAUCUUUACAUAUUAAUGCUAUGUUUUUUAAAUCGAUGCUUGUCUAAAAUGAAAAUAUAAAUUAAGGGUUGUUACACAUAGUAACCUUUAUAUUUUUUUUAAUUUUUAUUUCAUAAUAAGAUUCUCUUUAAAUAAAUUUAUGAUAAUAAUAUUUAAAUAAUUAUCCAAUUAUUCUAUUUUUUUCAAAUAAUAUUAAUGCUUGUUAUGGUAAUAUUACCAUUUUCUUUUUGAGUAAUUAUAUAUAAACCUAAUAUAUAAAAAUUUCUACAAACUUUACUCAUGAAUAUUCAACGAGAUUGAAAUAUUCAUUUUAUUUCUUUUUAAUUGUAAUUUUUGUAUAUUUUUUUCUCAAAUUUAUUUUUUUAUAUAUUUUUUAUACAUUCAUAUUAAAUUUAUCAAAUCAUGAUUUUUUUUUAUUAAAACUUACUUUUAUGAUAAUAAUAAUAUUUUUAUUUAAAUAACAAUACUUCUAAUAAAAGAAAUAUAUGUUUUUGUCAAUAAAACAUGUGAAUAAAGGAACAAGUUUUUUUGGUUAAAGAGAUACAUUUUUCUUCUUAAUUAAGAUUAUUUAAUUUUUUGAAUAAUUUUUUAUUUGCCUUCAGUUUUUAUUCAAUAAAAAACAUAGUUGGAAAAAAAAUUUAUACGAAAAAAUAUAUUAACAAAAAAGAUGAGAAUUUAGCCUAAAAAUCACAUUUUUUCUAUGGAAUUGAAAUCAUUGUUUUUCUUAAUUACAGAAAUUCAUGGUUAUUGUCAUAUAAUUAAAUGAAAAAAAAUUCAAAAAGCACUCAACAACACGAGAUAAAAUAUAUGCAUAUGCAUUUAUACUUUUCCCCUUGUAAAAAAUAUCAACUUUAUAUUUUAUUUUUAAAUUAAUGCUAAUAAUUUUUUAUAAUUUAUUAAUUAAUUUAUUUUUCAAUUUAUUUUAUUAAGGAUAGAUAUCAAGUUUUCAAUUUUCAAUUGAAAAUUUUCAUUAUAUUGGAAAAUAUAUUCACAACGCGAGUGCAUUCUUUUCUUACAUUAAAGAUUAACUUCAAAUUAUACUCACAGCAAAGGGCGGAGGCAUGUUAAAGGCUUGGUUGAGCUAUAGCCCAAGUCAAGAUUUUAUCAAUAUUUUUUGACUAGUUUUAUAUAAAACAAAUUCGUAAUUCUCGAUUGAGUUAUCAAAAAAUUCUGAAAAUUUGUGUAGAGCCUUCUAAUAUGAUGUUUUAGCUUAGGUUAAAAUUUCAAAAUUUUUAGAGAAAUUCAAAAAUUUAAUGAAAAAUCACAAUUUGACCAGUUUUACGUUAUUGGGCGUAAUUUUCAAUCCGACCAUCAGAUUGAGUUGAAAUUUUAUGAGAUCUUCAAAUAUAUUGAAUAAAAUCUGGUUAAAAUUUUAGGAUGAAUGGAGCUUGGUAGUGCUAACAAAAAAAAGGAUCGUCUAAUAAAAGCAAAACGACUCAUUAAAGGUAAAAUGGUUAUUUGCCAUUAAAAAAAAACAAAUCAGCUCUUCCUUCCUUUCAUAUGUUGCCGACUAGGCAUAAGCAGAAUAGAAAAGGAAAGAAAAGAAAAGGUGAGAGAGAAAGAGAGAAAAGUAAGGGAAAAACAUAAAAACAAAUCCAAGAAAAAAAUAUAAAAAAGUGAGAGAAUAACCUUGUAAACUUACAAAGUCCAACUUAUAAAAUACUUUGAAAAACAACUUCUACCACAAUAUCAAACACUACCUUUAUAUUAAGUCGUAACGCACAUCAACAUGUAAAACAGUCCGCAGCUUUUCAUAUUAUUUUUUGAAAGGAACAAAACCUUCUCUUCCAUCUAUCAUGGGCAACCAAAAUAAACAAAACCCCAAGUUUAUCAAAACCAAUACAACUACUGAAAGUCAAAUACAUAAUGGCUAGUUGCAUGCUAGCUAGUUGUCGGACUCAUCUAAAUUCUUAUGCAUUAGCAAAUAUGAAAGGAAAAACCAAAGACACAUGCGAGGGACAAUCCAAGAUUCAUGUAAUUUAUUACAAUCCAAUAUGAAGGUAGUGAUAGUGACAAGAAGUAUAAGAAUAUGCAGUAACAAUCAAGUGAAGAAAAGGAAAAGUUGCACUAGUUGUUUAUAAUUUAGUCACGUAGGGUUAUGAAUAACAAUAGUAGUUAAGAGUUUAAUUGAUGAAUAAGAACAUUGUAAUAACUGAGAAAUAGUUAGUUAGAAGUCUAUUAAAAAACAAAACAAAUAACAAUCAAAAGAAUGAUGAUCAAAUCUUGUAUACAAACUAAAUGAAAUAAAAUAAUGAGCGGAAAAAUUAAAAAUAAAUAAAUAAGGGAUAAAACAAUAGCAAUCAAAAGAAUUAGGACUAAAUUGGAUAAAAAAUUAAAUGAAAUAAAAUGUCGAGGGAUAAAAUUAAAAAAAAAUCAAUAAAAUGAUUUAAAAAAUUACAAUAAAAAGAAUAAGGACUAAAUUGAUACAAACACUAAAUGAAAUAAAAUACUAAGGGAUAUAAUUGAAAAUAAAAAUCAACUUAAAAAAGAAUUAAAAAUAAAAAAAAUAUAAAAAAAAAUGAGUUCCAAACUGAUAAAAAUACAAAUAGAAAAGACACAUCUAAUUUUUAAAAGGGUUAGCACAAAACCCAAGGCAAGGAGAGAGAGAAAAAAAAGGUCCACUAGAGCUCAACCGCUGCGUUGUCGUGUGCACAUUCUUGACCACAGAGAAAAGGAUAUCGUGACGCUUUCAACACUGUCAUGAAAGAUGGUGUUUGACCCUUAAAAGACACCGCAUGUGUCAUUCAAAAAACAAGCGCCUCCCAUUUACUAGUGCAUGCCUCCCAACACUUUCAGUUUCUUAAUUAUAUUUAUAUUUUAGACUAAAUUACCCUUUAUUUACAUUGAUUAUGACUAAAUAACCAUGAUGAAAAUAUAAAAAAUCCACUGGACGCCAGUUUUGGAUUUAUGCCUUUAAAGCAAUGUAGUCAUUCUACCAUGCUAUCAAAAUGUUGAAAGACUGAAAACCCCCUGGACCUUAUUUCAAAAAAUUUUCUUUAAGGGUAUUUAAAUCAUUUUAUUAUGCAUUUAUAAUGUUAAAAGACUGAAUUGUUCUCAAUCAAUAUGAUAAUGACAUGGAUCAUAUGAAAAAGAUUGUAUUAUCCCUAAUAACUAAUUAACUGAUUUUGUUUAAGAAGGGUAUAAUGAUCAUUUCAUUAUUCCAAUACAUAAUAAUGGCUUUUAGUUUUUUUUUAGUUUUUUUUUAAAUUUAAUCUCUUUAGAAUAAAGAUAAAUAAACAAAAAAAUCAUCAUAAGUUCGAAAAUAACAAAUCCAUCUCCAAAACACAGACACACACAUACAUAUUAAAAUCUACAAGUGAGAAUCUCAUGUAUGCUUCAUUUAUAAAUUUUUAGUGUAUGAACUAUUUAACUUGUAAUAUCAUUAGUUCUAUGAAAAUUAAAACAAGAGAGAGGGAAUUUAAAAAAAAAAUGUUAUUUUGUGUACAUGACAUGUCACACUUCACAAAUUAAAAAACAAAAAAAAAUGAUGUAAUGGAAGGGCCAUAUUUUUAAUGGAUGAACUAUGGUAUUUUUUUUGCACAACAACAUUGUUUAAGUACAAAUUUGACAAAAUAAUACAUGUUGAAAAAAUAUUUGAAAAGUAGUAUAAUUUGAACAAAGACGUGAUUUUUAAUCAUGUCUUUAUUCAACGACAUGAUUCUGAAUCAUUGUUACAUAACAAAAUCAACAUUUAGAAUCUCAUGUUCAAUUAUUAUAAAAACCUAGCCUUUUCUUCUUCUUCUUCGUUCUAUAGUCGCCGCUCAUCACCCAUCAAAACCUAAAACACCCAGCCUCUCUCGCCCCAAAUCACCGAAAACAACCACCUAUCAUCUACCAAAACACCGAAAUCUUCUUUCCCUCGUCUCCUCGCAUCUUUCUAGUGUUUUUUUCAAUAAAAUCUGUCAGCUUAAUAUCCUCAUUUAGUCUCCUUGCCAUAACCAUUGAUCAAACCACCAUAAGUCAUCGAUAAAUUAAGGUAAAAUCACUACAUUUCUCAUAAUUUUAUGGUUGUCAUUCUUAAAUUACGAGAUUCUUAAUUUUGAUUUAAUAUUGUUUGUGUGGUGUUUGAUAAUUGAGUAUUUUGUUUUAAUUGAGAUAAUCUAGAGUUUGAUUCAAGCAAUUAGGUAUGUUUUUAUGCAAUUGAUGUUAUUUAUGGAAUCAAUUAAGUUCAAAUUAGAUAAAUUAAGGUUUGUAAAAUAAAGAAAUUAGGGUUUGUAUUGAGUUUUAGGAUAAAUUGGAAUGAUUGGAUAUUUUGUUUGAAUUGAGAUAAUUUAGAUUUUAAUUGAUGCAAUUAUGUAUGUUUUCAUGCAAACAGUGUUAUGAAUGUCGAAAGAAUGGCAAUUAGGUUUUGCGUUAAGUUUUGGGAUAAAUUAUUGUAAUUGGAUAUUUUAUUGGAAUUAAGAUAAUUAAGCUAAUUUAGGUUUUAAUUGAUGCAAUUGAGUAUGAUUUCCAUACAAUUGAUGUUAUGAAUGUCGAUAUAUGGACGAUAAUGGUCUCACUCAUCUUUUUUUAGCAUGUUGAGUUGCUUGCUCGAAUCGUAUAAUGCUAUUAGUAUAGAUACAAGCGACACAUCGCAUGCUAUUAGUUGACGGGAUAAACACGAUAAUUAUAAUUGGAUGACCCAUAAUCUCCAUUACAUAGUGCAGUGGGAUGCACGAAGAGAUGAGAUCUUUAUAGAGGUGCAAUUUAUUACUUCAGAUGAUGAAUACAUGAAGUGCUAUUGGUGUAUAAUGCAACAUAUCAUCACACCAAACUCAAUGCAAGUUCCUUUAUGCGAGAACAUAGAGUAUGAAUCAUAUGCACCAUGGAUGCAAAAUGUUGUAAGUACUUCAUACAUUUUGUAAUUAAUAUGUGAUGGUAAAUGCAUUUUAUUUAUGGAUUAAUAACUAUAUUUGCUGAAAAUCUGGUUGACAAUGUGUUACGAGAUGGUUGAGAAAUUGUUAGUGGUCUUCGUGAGAUUGAAGAUAACACACUUGCUCAUUAUUAUGCAUUUUGUUAGUUUGACUCAUGUCGCACUACAUUUCAGAUGCUUGGAGAGACGAUGUUGUGUCGGUGUAUGAGAUGACUCAAACACUAGGAAGUCACGCUAUUGAUAAAGCUAACCCAUUGGCUCGUCAUUGUAGACAUAGAUAGACUAGGAUAUAUGUACAAUAGAAUUAUGUUGUGUUAUUUUCUUAGAGUCUGUUUAUUUUUGUAUUUCAAAAGCAUUUUUUUAAAAAUUAAUUUUAUUUUAUUUUUCUUUGUUUCAAAUUGGUUUUUUUUUGUGUGUUUUCAGAUCAUUUUGAUGCACUAAUGUUAAAAAUAUAUAUUUUUUUAAAAUAAAAUUACUUCGAUGCAUUUCUAAAUAAAAAUUAUUUUAAAAAGCAAUUGUUGACACAAUACCAAAUUAGCUCUUAGUUAUGCAUUUGUGUUUUAUUAUUCUUUUAUAAUUAUUUUUGACUUGUCAAGGUGAGAUUUUAAUAUUAUCUUUCAUAUUAUAAACAUUCAAAUUUAUUUUCGACGAUUAGAUAGAAUAUAAAAUCAUAAAUUUACAAGUGAACAUGCGAUCAACGAUAACAAGUUAUUUAUAAUUGCAAAACAAAAGUUUAUAGGUUAAUUAAUAUGGCGACAUUUACAAAUGAACGAUUAUGUCACAUUGUUAUGUUGUGUUAUUACAAAGAUCAAUUAACUAACAUUAUAAUAAACGAAUGAAAACAACGCUAAAAUAUUACAUCAAUGUAAAUAAAUUUUAAUGUUGCUUUUUAUGAUUUUUUAAACCUAACAAUGUCCUGUCUAUUUUUAUUCUGUGUUUUUGGGGUUUGAAUUUAAUAUUAGUAGCAUUUAAGAAUUACAAGUUUGUAUUUAGAAUUUGAGGUUUAGAUUUUAAAAUUUAAGGUAUAAGGUCAGAGAUUAUGAGUUUAGAUUUUGGAAUUAAGAGUUUACAGUUUAUUGAUGGGAAUUAUGACUUUGAAGUUUGAGUUUAAGAAUUUAUAAUUUAAGAUUAGAGAUUAUGGAUUUUGGGUUUGGAUUCAAGAAUUUAGGGUUUAUGGUUACAAAUUAUGAGUUUGGGGUAUGGAUUUAAAAUUUUAGGGUUUGGAUUUAAAAGUUUGGGAGGAUUACAAGUUUAGAAAAGAGGUUUGAAAUUAUAGUUAGUGUUUAUAGUUAGGGAUUAGGAGUUUGAGAUUAAAUGAGAGUUUGUAUUUGAGAUUAAAUUACAGUUAAUUUAAGGUUAUAUUAGCUCAGAGCAUAUUUAAAUUAAAGACGUGAAUCUCAAAUGUCAUUCGUGUGUUUAAGUCAAAGACGCAAACGAGUUUUCUCCGCAAAUGACGCAAACGAGUUUCGUGUCUUUGACUAAAUUUUACUGUUUCCUAAUACUUUUUUCCGCAAUGCUAAUUUACCAAAUUGUUUUGCCUGGGUGAGUAAUAAAGGAAAAAUACCGGGACCAUCCGAUAAAAGGAAGAACUUAAAAGAAAUUAAAGUACAAGGACAAGAUUAAAAACAAUUAAAAAGUAGAGGGAGGUACAAAGGAUUUGAGCUCUUUACAGUUUACAUACACACGAACUAGACUCUACUUCCUUGAGGCUUGAGGUUGGGGAUCUCUCUCUCUCGUCUCAAAAACCGUCACCUUAAACUUCCUUACCCUAUCAGAUAGAUCCACAUUUACUGCUACACUUCUCACACACACACACGUACCAAAAGUAAGUAUCCCUCUCUCUCUCUCUCUCUGAGUCUCGCCGUUUGGAUUCAAUUAUGGCUACCACCACCACCAUUAGAAGAACACCAAUUGUUUACGCUCUUUUAGCCUUCUUCUUGUUAUUACGAUUCUCCUCCUCCACGGAUACACCUCCUGAACAAUCACCAUCUCCAUCUCCUCAACAAUCCGAUUCACCAUUACUAUCUCCUCCUCCUCUUCUUCCACCCCCCUCUCUCUCACCAGAAACCGGAUCUCCCUCACCGACGACAAUGGCAUCCCCACCAGCAUCACCUCCUUCAGAUCUGACGGCUCAUGUGCCCGCACCGGCUGAGAAUGUUCCAGAUCCGGAUCCGUCGGUGGCGAGCGAUAUAAAUGUGAAAGCAGGAAAUGGGAGUGAAGACGAUGAAGAACAAGGGUCUGAGGGAAUGAGUGGGGGGAAGAAGGCGGGGAUAGCAGCAGCAGUUAUAGGGGCAGCUUGUUUGGUUGGCUUUGGAGGAUUGGUUUAUAAGAAGAGACAGGAUAAUAUUCGAAGGUCUGCUUAUGGUUAUGCUGCUAGAAGAGAGCUUCUUUGAAUUUUAUUUUAUUUUAUUUUAUUUUUUUUCACUCAAGAUUUCUGCAUACGACGACGUUUCCAUUUUAAUCAUUAUUUAGGUGACCAAAAAACAAUUGUACGUUGAUGUUAAUGCGAUAUAUUUCUUUGUUUUCUUUUCCAACAAAAAAAAAAUCAAAUAAAAAAUUAGCAGUGAAAAAUGUAAUGUUCCACAAAUUAUUUUGGAGAUUAAUGUUUUUGCACUAUACUCCACAAAAAUAUAUUAGAGUAUUAUAUAAAUUAUAUUAUAAUAGAUAAGUUUAAGUUAUUGAAUGGGAUGUAAUAGAAAGAUUAUAUAAAUCUGUACUGCAUUCUCUCUCUCUCAACAAUUUCGAGUAGAUAUGCUUACUACUCGAAAUUGUUGAGAGAGAGAGAAUGCAGUACAGAACUACAGAUUAUGUAAUUGUUGAGAGAGAGAGAGAAUGCAGUACAACAUUACGCUGACAGGUAUAUUUUCCGCUGUAGUGAUUGACUGUUGUGCUGUAUCAUGGAUUUCUGCCUUUGUUUAUUCUAAGAUUGUGGAGCUGGAACUAUCUAUCAGUUUACCCUUCAGCAGGAGGAUCUACCCAGCGGCCAUUAUCUUUAAUCAGCUGGAUCAAGGCGUCAGUGGCAUGCUCCAUUUCAAUUCCACGCUUUACCACCGUCUGACACCACAGAUUCCAACUUACCAUCAAUUUCACCCACCCAUCAAUCACUCGUUGAAGAUGAUAAACAAUAAACAUGGACAUACUUCCUAAAUCUCUCUGUGAGCAUGUCUACUCGAAAUUCAUCCUCCUAUCCUAAUAUAAAUCGGCUAAGGAAUAAUUGGAGAGCCUAAACAGUCACUGAAACAUCAACUAAAGAGCAUUAUUAGUACGAACAAUAUUCAUUACCUUUCCAACAUAAAGGUCAAUCUUUCCAGGAGCACCACCGACGUACCCAAAAUCUGCAUCAGCCAUCUCCCCAGGGCCAUUCACAAUGCAACCCAUGAUUGCGAUCUAUGAAAGGAAAUGUAUGAAGACAAAUUACAUUUUUUACUGGAAAAUGACAAGGCUAAAUAACAUUAAAUCGAAUGAUAAUGCAAAAGUAUUAGGGGAUCACCGAGACACCAGGCAAGUGUGAUGUCUUUUCUCGUAUUUCUGCACUUAUCUCUUGAAGAUCAAACAAAGUUCUUCCGCAUGAAGGGCAUGAGACAUAUUCCUGAUGAGAUUUCAGCAAUUCUAGUAAUCAAUGAAGACCUUAAUCUCUAAGUACGUCAACUCGUGUUUUUUUUAUGUUUUUUUUUUCAUUUUGAAAACAAACUUCAUACCGUCUUUGUAUUUCUCAUUCUGCAACCUUGUAGUAAGUUGAAAGAUGUAUUCCUGAGAAAAUCAAAAUCCUGGUCUGGGGCUUCAAUAAGGACACCAUCUCCUAGACCAUCUACUAAAAGAGCUCCAGCAUCUGUACCAGCACCAAUGACCAGGUCAUCCCUGCAAAGAGGAGAAAAUAGUAUAAGCUAAAACAACUGAUACAUGCAUCGCAUUCAAUGAAUAUUACAUGUUUCAUGAUCACCUGCGAACCCCUUUUGGAAAUUGAAUAUGGUGAAUCACAGGGACACUCAAAGCCUUGUCUACGAGAUACUCAAAUAAUCUGCAGCCAAGAUAGAGUUCGAACUGUCAAGACUAAGGGGAGUGUUCACAAGACAGCGAAAAACCCUGUUGCAGAUAGGAAAUAACACAAAAAACAAAUGAACAAUUAAUAGACGACUCAUUUUUAUCAUGUUGAGUCACUAGGUACACCCUAGGCAUUAGUAUGGGUCUACUCAGCAGUAUAGUUAACACUCCUGACAAAAAUGCCUAACAGGCCAUAGUAGUUGAAGCUUGAAACAAUCAACAACAAAAUGGUUUGAAAAAGAAAGACUUUUCUCAGGCAUACAUUAUCUACAUGUGGAUGUACUGAUGGUUUGGUAUUACCUUUUCAAUUAAUGACCAUAUUAUAAAAAUUAAAGUGAGUAGCAGAAAUACCUCCUUGCUGCAUGCACUCUGCCAAUCUUAUCCUCUGAAAGGGGUAGAACAUGAAGAAUCAUUGUGGCAUCAACAUGUUCGAGAAUUUCCAAUUCUUCACAGGGCUCAUCGCCACGUAAAGACACAACCAAGCGUGUACCUGAGAGGUAAAAAUUGAAUGACUCAAAGUUCUCAAUACAAUUCAGCACAGAAAAUAGAAGAAAUGAAGACAUUGAGCAUAAGAACCCAACAAAACAUGACAAUUUUUGAGAAGUGGUACCUUCUGGCAAAAGCUUGUAUGCACCAGUAGACAACUCCUUAAGGUUGACUAGAACCAUGGCAUUGGGUAAUGGCUUCGUUAGCUGCUCUGAUAAAGGAGCUAUUACUCCCAUACUAACUUCUAUCAACCUUUUGAGAGCUAGCCGCUAGUCAUGAUACAGAGUAUAAACAUCUAGUUAUUCUGAUUCUUUAGUAAAUUUGUCUAAUUCUAAAACGAGGCAUAACAAAUCAACGAUGAUAUAUUUUUUUUUUUUGGGGGGGUUGCUUUUCCCAAUCAAAUGAAGCAAGAGACAGUUAGGGUUCUUACAGCAUCGUUAUCAUCCACUGGUGGGAGCUCUCUCAAAAAUAUUGAGUCAACUGUUGCCAGAUCCUAGAUGCAAAUUUUUGUGUCAAUAAAAACAGUGAUGGAUUCAGAAAUCAUCUUCAAGCCAUUACUCUUUCAAUGCAACAGAAUUAGGUCAGAAGAGACCUUAAAAGGCAUCCCAACAACAAUCUUUGCUGCAAGUGACUUAUAGAGAAGUUCGGGUGCCUGGAAGGAGAAAAUUUUCAAUAAAAUCCAUCAUAUGCUUCCCUCCAAGUUAGAAAAGUAAAAUUAGGGGACAAUAGUGAAAGGAAAUAUAAGGUAAGAGUAAUACUAAGUGGUUACCUUCAACUGAUCUAAAGAGACUGACAUGAGCACGGAGCCAUCACGGUGCAGGACACCUCUAUAAUCCACCUCCUCACCCUGUAAUUACGUGAACAAUCAACUCUCAAUUUGCAAAAUCAUGAUCAAAUAAAUGAGCUAACAAAUGCUCAAAUAUCCAUAGAAGUUGAAGGACAACCUCCUUUUGCACUGGCAAUUGACCAGAUCGGCGCUGGAAAUCAAAGUAAUGCCUGUGCUUUUCCUCAAAUGGUGCCUGGUUGAAACAAUUCCUCCAAAAGUCAACCAAUAAGAUUGCAUAAAUUGCAGAAUUUUUACAGAGCACAAUUGUGUUAAUUUGAUGAAGUGCACCAUAUAACCUACCACUCCUUGCUGAAUUUCGGCUGCUCUCAUACCAAGAUUGGCCAACCUUCUGCAGGGAUCUAUCUCCUCUUCUGGUGGUUCUGUAAGUGAAACCCUAAUUGUAUCACCCAAACCAUCCUGCACAUCCAACAGAGUUCCUGACUUCUACAGUGACCACACUACAUCUAAUGUUGUCCCAGUGAUGAUAUUUAACUAUGAAGAAAUCAAUUUUGAUGGAAGAGCAAGAUCACACAAAUGGAAUGCACAUUUCACCACAUAAAUUUCCUUCUAAAAAUAAGCUACAGACUGAUGCGUUUUAAACAAUAUGAAAGUGAAAGUUCAAAAUUGCAGGAUUCAUCAGAAAAACGUAUCAUCAGGAUUCUAAAGGAUCCUCCAUUUUUUUAGAGCUUCCAAUUUGUGUUCUAAGGUUACCUGAAGAAGAGUCCCAAUGCCAAUUGCAGAUUUCAUCCGCCCAUCUUCACCUUCUCCAGCUUCAGUGACGCCCAAGUGUAAUGGAUAAUCCCAACCUUGAACAUACAUUUCCGCUACAAGUAGACGGUAUGCCUGGACCAUGACAACUGGGUUGCUUGCUUUCAUCGAAAAGACAAAAUUAUGGAAGUCCAACUUCCGACAUAUCCUAGCAAACUCAAAUGCAGAUUCAACCUGUUUGAUAAAAGCCAUAUGAUAUGAUGCUACUGCGUCUAGAAGUACAACAGAAAGAAGAAAAUCGCUAAACAUUAUGGGAGAAAAUAAUUUUUCACCAUUCCCCUAGGAGAAUCUCCAUAGUAGCUCAUUAUACGAUCUGAAAGACUCCCAUGGUUUGUUCCAAUACGCAUUGCCCUUCCAUACUUCUUACAUUUCUCAACCAAUGGAGUAAAAACCUGGCAUAGUAAAAAAUAGAAAUCAAAACCUCAGGUCAUUAUAUGUAAAUAAAGGUAAUUAUGUACAUGCUUAUAUUCAAUACUUAAAACUGACGAUUCCCGUCUUUACAGCUUAAUGUUUAUGAUUCAGUUAACGCAGAAGAGUGUUCUGCAUAUUCAUGCUUCUUAUUGAGAACUUUUUAUGGGUGACCAUUUUGAUAGAGGAGUGUUCUCAAUAUGCUCAAGUUCUUUCUCAUAGUCAUCUUCUGUGUACUCUAGCUUCUCAAAUUGAGCCCGCCUAUCAGCUGCAAUGAACCAUCUCAUUGUACUCUAGCUUCUCAAACUGAACCGCCUAUCAGUUGUGUUCAUUACCUAAAGAAGAAUGGAACAAGGUCCUUGUGGCUUACCAAAAUUUCCUGGGUUGACACGAAUCUUGUCAAAGCAUUCAGCUACUCGCAAUGCAACAGAUGGAGCGAAAUGAAUAUCCGCAACCAGAGGAAUAUUGUAACUGCAUAAAUACAACAGUUAGAGACAAGGUUGCUCUGCAUAAAAAAAAUGGAUCGAAGGUUUCUUAUAAUCAAUCAGACGUACUUUUAUUUAUUCGAAAAGAAAAGGAGCCUACUUUUUCUGCACAAGAGAGUUUUUGAUUUCAAAACAGGCAUCGGCUUCUCUCUUCCCUUGAACUGUUAUACGAACUAUAUCUGCUCCCUUGUCUGCUAUUCUCAUCACCUACCCAAAUAAACAGCAGUUAAUGUAACUGCCGAGAAAAAAGAAAGUAGUUCUGACAGACAGGCCCAAUCAACAAGAAGACUGAGGAAUUUCAUCAAAAUGAACUGUGAUGAGAAAUCAAUUAGAAACUCUUUUUAACAGACUAGCAGUGAAACCAGACUUGAUCAAUACCAGAUCCAGUCAACAUAUCAUCAUCAAGAUGGGUCUCCAUACAAAUGAUCACAGUUAUUUGUUUACUAAACCAUGGGUUCACAAAAGACUCCAGUUAUUUGUAUAUUAAGCCAUGAUUUUACAAGAGAUUUCUUCUCCUCGUCCUCCUCCUUUUUGUUUACUGAACCAUGGGUUUACAAGAGACUCCAGUUAUUCGUAUAUUAAACCAUGAGUUUACAAGAGAUAUAUAUAUAUAUUUUUUUAAAUUCAGUCAAGGAGAGAAUCUAAUGCCAGUCCUUUAAGCAGAUGUUGAAAUAGGAAGAGUUACCAUGGUUGGUCUAAUCUCUUGCUACGAUGGAAGAGCAAUCAAGCACCAAUGGUUCAAUUAGAAAGAGCUGAAAUGCAAGAAAAGUCAAAAGAACCUGUUCAACUGUCGCAGCAACAUCCUUGGUGUCAGUUGUGGUCAUAGUUUGAACCCUUACAGGAUGCUCACUACCAAGAGGCACAUUUCCCACCAGUACAGUGCGUGUUUUCCUUCUGACAGUCUUGUUUAUAGAUUCACAAUACUUUUUUCUUGGGACUGCAUUCAAAGAAACAAUAUGCAUCAGAUAUGUAAGAAAAACAUUAAAUUUUGCCCAAAUAAGUUUAGCACAUAUAAAUACAAAUAAAUCUGUUCUUCGUGUUUUCUGUGCACAUGUAUCUUUAGCAUCGAUCAUAUUUGGUCAACAAUGACAUUAAAAACAAGCACAUAUGCCUCAACUCAUCACUUCUGAUCAUAGGGUAUGGUUUGUUGUGGUACCUAAUAGAGGGCUCCCUUCUGAUGCAGGUUGAAGCUCAACAAUCCCAGGACCAGUAUUAGAGUUUUGAAUCAUUGAAAUUCUUUUUCUACCGGAUUUGAUCCUCUUUAUAUCACAAAUUCUCACGAAAUCCACGCUUUUUCCAAACCCUAAGCUUGAUUCCCUCAUCUUUAACCCUGAAAAUGAUGCUGGUACAGCCCCAGUCGCCAUUUCUACCUGGUACCUUGGCAAUCACCCAACCAAAACAAAACAAGACUCCAUAAUUUAUUUGUUUUCGUAGGAACAUCAAAACAAAACAACUCAUAUAACACAUGUUUCAUUUUUUAAAUCACUUAAAACACUGACUCAAGAAGACAAAAGAAAAGAAAGAAUAAUAAAAAAAAACUUUCAAGAAUAUUUCCAUAGCGAGUAGUGAACUUAAAAGCAAGAGAAAAUGAAUGAUAUUAAAUAAGUAAGCUGACAAUUACCUCCAAAAAAUAAAAACAGAAAUUAAGGUUUGAUUGAGAAGGAUCUGGAGAUGAAGAAGAAGAAUGAACCUGCGGUGGUAGGGAGUUCAGAAGGACUUCACUCUCUCUGUCUGUGUCUGAGGAUUCGAGAAAUCUUCUUCUUCUUUUUUCCGAGUGAAAACAGCAGCAGCAGAUAGAAGAAAUACAGAUUAAUUAUAGAACCAGACGACAAAUAUUUAUUUGUUUUUAACGAAUUCAUAUUCAUAUAUGUGCUGCUAAGCACGCGUCUGUAACACAUUGAACAACUACUAAAAAAAAAAAAUACCGAAUAACAAUUUUUUUUUUUUAAGGAAAGGAAUAUACCUUUUCUAAAAAAACAAAGAAAUCCAGAAUUUCUAUUUAGGUUUUUUUGGAGCAGAUGUAAAUAUUUAGGAAAUUAUCAAUUGCUUGCUGGUGAUAACAGAUUAAGAAAUUGGAUUUCGUGUGCUAGCAAAAACCAGAUAAACUAGGAAUCUUUCCGAGACCGUUUUACCGUAUUCCGGGUGACGGGAGCACGACCCGCCAACGAACUACAAAUAUAACCGCUAGUGUUUAUAUAUAUAUAAAAACCUUUUUUGAAUAAUAAUAAGAAUAAAAGAAAGCAAAUGGAUGAUAUAUGUGUAUACUUUAUUUUUAUCACAUCAUAUUCUCCAAUAACAAUUCUUCACUUUUAAAAUUUCUUAAUAUCAUACUAUAAACUGAUUAAAACAGGUUUCAUGCUUGCUUCUGAUAUAGACCCACUAUUUACGUCACUGUAACGACGUGAAAAAGAAUUAACUUGAGAUCUUGAUGUUUUUGCUUUCUUGCAACUUGGUCCUUGAAAUUUUAAAGUUUUUUGUUUUGAUCCUUAAACUUUGUUUUUAUCACUUUUUAAUCCUUGAAUUCUAAUAACAGAGAGAAAAUGUCACCGAAAAAUGAUGAAGAGAAAAUUUUUGGUUAAUUAUAUUUUAGCCAAAAAAAAAAAACUAAACUUGGUGUUAAUAAGUUUGUCUUGAAAAGAAAAAUUCAAUGGUGGUGGUUUUGCCCACCAACCAUGUUGAGAAAAGUAGGUUAAAACCCAUGAAUAUUUUUUAGAUCUGGUUUGAUUUUUGAUUUUCUUAGUUAUUUUAAAGUGUUUCGGGGUUUGAAAUGAGAUAAUUUAGGUUUUGAAAUAUUUUAAAAGUGUUUCCUGGUCAAAAUGGACUAAAAAAUUAGAUUUGAAGGUAAAAAUAUAUUUGGCCUAAUCUAAUUAAUGUUAUAUGCUGCAAAUUUUAUUUAUAUUAAAUGGAUGAUAUGUUGCCCACUUAAUAUUAAAAGGUAUAGGCAUGUGGGUUUGGUCUAGCUCAUAUAUGCUUGGUUGAGUCCUACUCAUGCUUGUCCUUUUUUUUAGGCAAAUUAUAUGGAUUUGGUCUCCUAGUCUUAUAAAAUCUUUUUUGAAUAAUUUAAAUAAAUAAUAAUAAUAAUAAUAAUAAUAAUAAUAAUAAAAAGCAAAUAGCAAAUGUAUGAUAUAUGUAUAUACUUUAUUUUAAUCACAUUAUAUUCUCUAACAUUCAACAUCCAAUUUUAAAUUUUUUUAAUAUCUUAUUAUAAAAUGAUUAAAAAGGGUUUCACACUCGCUUAUGCUAUAGGCCCAUUAUUCACAUUAGUGUAGUGCUACAACUACGUGAAAAAGAGUUAACUUCAAUCCUUGAUUUUUUUUUCUUACAACUCAGACCUUUGAAUUUUGAAGUAUUUUGUUUUGAUUCUUAAACUUUAUUUUUGUGGCUUUUGAGUCUUUAAAUUCUAAGAAAUGAGAGAAAAAGUCACUGAAAAUGGUGAAGAAAGAAAAUUUUUGAUUGAUCACAUUCUAACUAUAAAAAAAGUCAAACUUGAUGUCAUAAGCUUAUCUUGGAAAGAGGAGUGCAAAGGUGAUGGUUUUCCCCACCAAUCAUGUUGGAAAAAAAAGGUUGAAACCUAUACAAAUUUUUUAGAUUCAAUUUGAUUUUUUGUUUUCUUAUUUAUUUUAUGGUGUUUUGGGGAUUAUAGCGAGGUAAUUUAAGUUUCUAAAAUAUUUACUGACAACUUAACCAUACAUAGAACUUCAUUUUAUACUAAUAAAAUUAUAAGGCAAUAAAUGAUAUUUUUAACAUGUAUUUCAUUUACAUUAAGGAGGGAUUUGCUUUAUUCUUAACAUGUCCAUAAUCAUACUUUGGCAUGCUUAUCAUAUCAUACAUAACAAUAAUAUAUAAACAUGCAUUCUAGUAUGUCAUUCUAAUUAGAUGAUUAUGGACAUAUCUAAACUAAUUUUCUCAAGUUAUCAAAGGAAAUUAGGUGGUUAAAAUUUAGUGCUUCCUCUAUCGUAGGAUAAUCUUUUAGUGCUUCUUAAUCUGUGUUAACAAAGUAGACACUUAUGUUCUAGAGAACAUAUAUAUAACAAUUUGAUGAUCACUAAUGUAAUGCCUGAGUUCCAUGGACAUACUUUUUAAGCUGUCAUUGAUUCUAACGAACUUAUCCAUGCAUGUAUUCAACUUAGAAUUAAGUUUAAAAAUAUUAUGUCCUUUUCACGUUCUACCAUAGAAAUAUCGAUUGAAAUAAAUCCUUUAGUGAUUUUAUAUUUGAUUAGAGAGUUGUUAAAUCAUUAGUCUAGGACUUAACUUUUUUUGUUAGCUUCCUUAGCCCAUUCUCUAAAUUGGUUUUAUUUUUCAAGACAUGAUUGUUUUGCUUAAUCAAGAAGGGAACAUUGGUCUCUACUUGAGGCAAUGUAUUUUUAAGAGACUUUAUAGUUCUAUAUGCCUACGUAGGUUUGCUAGUUUGAAAUGUAAUAUCUUCUCUUACUUUCUCUAGUUUAGUUUCUAUAGAAACCCUACUUAGUUGAGGCUCUUUUAUCUCUUUGAUGAUUAUAAAAAUGUCAUUUUUCUAUUAGUGACAAUAUAUAUAUUCCUUUUAUAACUUAAAUUUUAAAUUUUCCAUUUCCAAAUUCUUAUCUUCCAUAAAAAGUCUAAAGUUCUCCCUAUCCUUUCUUCAUGACUUCUCCCCUAGUAAAAUAUAUCUCUUCUGUGUAUGCUUACGAUCUUUCUGUAGAGAGUUUUUUUCUUUAUUCAAUGAAAUAAGUCCUUGAUGCUAUUUUUAGCUCACUGAAUAAGUUGGUUUACUUCUGAUCUCACCAUCAUUUCAUAUUCUAGAAGUUUUUUUUAUAUAGCAUCAAAUCCCGAUCCCUAAUAUACAAAAGACUCCGUAUUUUUUCAAACACUUCAGGAACAACAAAAUGUUAGAAAAAGAACUAGUUUCUUCUUUCAUCUUUCUAAAGCAUUUGUUUAUAAAUAUAAAUAGAUAAAAAAAAUUAGUUUGGUAAGAUUCAAGAUUAUAUGUUGUUAUUCUGGAGCAUUUUAACAAAUAUGCACCAUUUCAACCAAACUAGAAUUCAUAUAAUUCAAAAUCACCACCACACAAACCCAUUUUGAGAUUUGGUAGUGUUUAGUGUUCUUAGAUCAAAAUUUCAUGAGACACCGCAAAAUUAUAUUGAAACUUGGAUAAAGAAAGACCCAAUCAAUUUAGUCAAGCUCUAUGAACGCCCGUUGAAUUGUUCGAUGGAAAAACUAAUGAGAAAGAUGUCGCGUUGGAUGGAAAAAACAAUGCCCGUCAACACAAUUUCAACCAUGACGACAGAUUUAUGAGUUUUUUUAUUCUAAUGGGUUGUUUUAUUAGGUAGCGAUUGAUUGCUAUUUUUAAAUAGAAAGGAUAGAGGUAAUGUAGAUAAAAAUAUAUUUUGUUAAAAGAGACAAAAACAUAAAAUAAAUGUCUUUGGGAUAAUUUUAGAGUGAAUUUUUGCAUUUCCAAACAUGAGGUACAAAGGGAACAAGUCUUUAGAGAUAAUAUUUAUUAUUUUUUAUUCCUAAAAUAUCAUUGUAAAAAACUCUCAAUUUCAAAAUUAUACAAUAAAGACAUGUAAGAAUAAAAAUAAUUAUUAUCAUAGUCUUACGACCUAACUCGGGGGUUGAUCCGGGGCAAAGCUCGGGUCACUAGUCGAGACAAAAACAUAAAAUAAAUGUCUUUGGGAUAAUUUUAGAGUGAAUUUUUGCAUUUCCAAACAUGAGGUACAAAGGGAACAAGUCUUUAGAGAUAAUAUUUAUUAUUUUUUAUUCCUAAAAUAUCAUUGUAAAAAACUCUCAAUUUCAAAAUUAUACAAUAAAGACAUGUAAGAAUAAAAAUAAUUAUUAUCAUAGUCUUACGACCUAACUCGGGGGUUGAUCCGGGGCAAAGCUCGGGUCACUAGUCGAGGCCCAGGUCAUGAGUUGGGUUGAUCCAAGUCAGUAUAAUAAUAAAAAAUAUUAUUAUCAUAGUUUUAAAACUCAAUUUGAAGGUUGAUCCGAGGCAAGACCCGAGUCAUGAGUGGGGUUGAUCAUUGACCCGGGUCAAUAUAAGAAAAAAAUAGUUAUUAUCAUAGAUUUAAAAUCCGACUUGAGGGUCGACCAGAGAUAAGGCCCAGGUCCCAUGUUAGAAGGAUCAACCCGAGUUGAUUUGAGUCAACAAAAAAUAAAAGUGGUUAUUAUUAUAAUUUUAAAACUUGAUUUGAGGGUCAACUCAGGAUAAGGCCCCGAUUACAAAUUACGAGGGUCAAUGUAGGAUAAAAAUUAUUUUAUCAUAUUUUUAAAACUCGACUCGGGAGUUAAUUGAAAUUAGGCCCAAGUCAUAGGUUGGAAGGGUCAACAUGGGGAGACACGAGUCAAUAUAUAGAUAAAAAUAGUUAUUAUCAUAGUUUUAAAAACCGACUUAGGAGUCGACUCAAAGUAAGGUUCAGGUCAUGGGUUGGAAGGGUCAACUUGACUAAUCCAAAAUUUUAAUUUUUUUCAUAAAAGUCAACAAGUUUUUGACUCGUGUUUUAUCCCGAGUUGACCUGGGUUUUGGACUAGGUUAGGUCGAGUCAAUCAUUUCGUUAUUUUUUCUUAAACUCAAACCAGUUCAGGCCUCAGAUCAACCCGUCAAGUCAGUCCUGAUUUUAUAGUUAUGAUUAUUAUAAUAUUAUUAAUUUCAACACUCGAUAUAAACUAAAAUAAAAAAAUAAAAUAUCGAAUAUUUUUUUUAAUAUGUAAAUUUGAUAACAAUAUAUAUUAAAGGUGAAAUAGAAUUUCUUAUAUUUUAUUCUAUCUUGUCCACCAUAAUCAAACAAGAUACAAAGACAAUCAUUCUAUCUUGUAUAUCACUACCAGACACAAUUCUGUCCGAGUCUUAUUUUUUAAUUUGUCUUGUCUUUUCUGCCUCCAUUAUCUUUCUGUCUCAGGAUAAUAACCGAACGCUAUCUUAAGAUUUGAAGAAAGGGAGAAAAAGAGAGAGGAGACUUUGGGUAUUUGAGUUUUGUUUGAAAGGAAAGUUUUUAUUGUAGGCUUUAAAAAUAUUUUUUAACAAAUAUUGAUUUUAAUCUCUUUAAUGUUUAAAUAUACUCUAUGUUAGCAAAGAAAACCUUAGUUUUUAAUAAUAAUCAAUUCAUACUUUGUAUAUCCUCAUCAUUUGAGGGUUUGAGUGUUUGAGAGUAGUAGUUUUUGUUUUUGGAUGUGUUUUAAAAAUAUAUUUUACUAGAAAAAGUAUUAGAUUUAUGUUUUUUUUAGUGUUUUCAAUUAUUUUGAUGGGAUGAUGUAUUAAAAUAGUGUAAUGAUUAUGAGAUGAUUCAUGAUUUAUUAAAAUAGUGGAAUGAUUAUUCAUAUUUAAAACACACUAGUAGUGUUUAAACAUUAUUAUUUUUUAUAUUUUAAAAGAAUUAACCUUGUGGGUGAUGGAUCGCGGUGCAUUUAGCUAGUAAAACAACUAAAAGGGGUUACAUAUAUUUUUACUUCUAUCACGUUAGUAUUUGGUUUGUUGGUCCCUAUCAUUAAAACUAUUUUGGGUAAUCUCAAGAAAAGAAAUAAAAAAAGGUUUCUCUAAUAUUUGGGGGUAAUCUCCCUAUCAUUGGUCAUCAAACUAUUUUGGAAGAUUUUUUUUUAGGAAAACCCACUAUUUAUAAAGAAUUUAAAAGAAAAGGAUGUGAUAGUAAUUCCCACACAUAUGAUACAAAUUAACGAUCCAUAUAUAUAUAUAUAUAUAUAUAUAUGUGUGUGUGUGUGUGGAAUCUUUACGUACGUUACGCAUGUAAUUGAUGCAGGACAGCCAUUAAUAAAAAACUUACCAAACCAAUGCCAACUUAUGAUCGUAUUUUGCAACCAAACACAUUUCAGUUUUCUAUGAGCGCGCGCAUUGGCAAAUGAUUUCAGUUUUUCCACUUUCUUUUUAUGUCUUAAAUAUGUUACAGAUCAAUUGUCAAGAUAUAGUAGUAGUAGGAAUGGAGUUUGUGUGCAUGUGUGAAAGAGUGGAGAUUCAGGAAUUCAAUCUUAAAUUUUUAAUGACAAACUCGAAUCACAAAAAUGACAAUUAUUGGAAAGGUGUCACCAUCUUGAUGAUCAGCACAGGCAUACGUUCAAAUUCAGCUCGACCGAUCAGCAAUGUCUCACUCUCACAUACCAUUAAUUGAUGUGUCACAAGGUAAACACCAGAGCAGCUAUAUACAUGGCAACCCCAAAGAGUACAAGAUUAUGAUGCAAAACAACAAUUACCCCGUCAGAAGCAUCCUUGGGAGCAACAGGAGACUCUGCAACAGGCUUUGCUGGUGCUGGAGCUGGAGGAGCCGGUGGAAAAAGAUCUUUAGGAACUUGCACUCUGUCGACCUCAUAAAUAGCAACCUGCUUGUCCGUGUAUAUAGUAUUUGAUAUGCUUGUUUUCGUUAGCCCUGAACUUAUUUUCACUGAAUUAUCACUGGUGCCUAGCUUAUCGUGAGUGGGAACUUACUAUCUGAUCCUGCCAGUGUUUUUACAGGGUUACUUAGAGUCUGGAAAUCGGAAGUUGAAAGAAAUCUCGGUAGUAUGUGAAAUUGCACAAACUCGAGCUUUUCUCUAUCGUUUAAGGAGCCUACAGCUCCAGCAACUUGGCUUGAAAAUGCAUUAUCAUUUGGUAACCAUCGGUUGAGCUGUUAAGCUGGGAGAAUAACUGGGUAUCCACAUGGGUAGCUUUCAUCAGGCGGACAAAGGAUAAGAAGCGGCCAGCUUUUAAGAUCGAGGAUGUUGAUGGUGUCUGUUGGGACAGCUGGGGGUGGCCGUGGCAAAGAGCUAGGGAGGGUGUUCUACCUCUAUAUAUAUAUAUAUAUAUAUAUAGUAGCAAGCUAGCCCCAAGAAAACGUGUUGUGUGCAAUUUAGUUUAAAGCCAGUAGCUAAUCUUUGUCAAGAAAAGGUACUGCGAGGUAUCCAACUGCUAAAACCUUUGCUAGUUAUACAUUAUCUAAUUACUUUGAGAGGUGACGAAUACUAAUAUGAAAAGAUAUUAAUCAUGACGAUCAAUUGUUAUACAUUACCUAAUCUCUGUAAGCAACUGGUUUGCUUGCGAAGGCAGCAAAACCAUGAUGAUAUUUCUAGUGGGUGUAAUGGGAAACAAAAGGCGCUGAGGUCUGUCCGCAUCAAAAAGGUAUAGUUAGCCUUCUUUGAGAACUAAAUACCCAAUUUAUGUUAUAUCCUUAGCUACUAAAAUUUUAUGGCGACUAAGUAUCAAGACCAUAUUAUAACCGUAGCCAUCGUUACUACAGUUGCUAAGUAUCAUCAUAAAAUAACAACACUAAUGAAAUUUGCAGCAUAUAAACAGUGAUACUAACAUAGUCUCAUCAAAUAACAAUAAUAAACCCCCCUUGGAUCAUAAACCAAAGACCCAAAACAAAACCCAACUAAAAUUAAAACUCAAAAUAUUUAGUAAAUCUUAAACAAUGACUAAUAUAUGGGCUGCCAUGAACCAAUUUAAAAAUAAAACCCAAACUAAAAUUAAACAAGUCCAAAAUUAAUGAAAAAUAAUAAUAAAAAAAACACAAAACCUAAAUACUAACAUAGUUCAACAUGAAACAACUUAAAUAGCCCAAAAUAAGUGCCUUCCUUGUUUUAAAACCCUUUAUAGCUUAAAUUAGUAUCCUAGAAGGUCAAAGAUUGUUGUAGCCGCCUUUAGUGUCCCAAAUAGACAAGGAAAACUUGUGUUUUAAUUUCUGAAUUAAUUCCUUAAUAACAUGGAAUCCCUGUAAAACAUGAAAAAACAAUAACAAAAAAUAUUUUAUUUUUGUUACCGCCUCUAUUGCUCUACCACAUGGAAACUCCUAAAAAAUAAGCACAUAAACAUUAUCGUCAACCCCCCUUUUCUUAUAUAGUUAGGAUAUACUUAAGAAAUCCUUCUGAUAAAAGAAUUUAAAACAUUAAUUACUCCUUGCUAAACUAGGAACCUUUGCUGCUAAAACCCACGUAAAUAAGCUUUGCUUGAUGUUAUUUGACUUUGAAACACACAACAGCACAUGAAUUUCGUUUUUUUUUCUUUCUUUUUAGCUUAAUGUUUGCAAUCGCCUCUCUACAUAUACAUCCGUAGUAAGAUUAGAUUCCGAAUGAAAAGUAGAAGCUAGAAGGUAUAAGAAUAUUGAUCAAACAGGUUGACACCUAAAGUUCUUUCCGAUGGAGUAACACGAAAUUCUCAAAAUACUUACUCAUAUAAAACAUGAAAGUAAAAUUAAGGGAGAAUAUGAGCAAAAUUAAAUCCAUUCUUAGUUCAUUAAUCGCAAACUUGAAUGGUACAAAUUAAUGUUACUGACAGGAAAUUGUCAAUUAUUCAAAAUCAGUACUGAUCACCAUAGAUCUUUAUCACCAGCACCAUUUGCAAACUCCAUAAAAUCAUAGUAUAGUAAUAAAAACAAGAAAAGGGACCCAUGUUACCCCACUCGGGGGUAUAUAUCUCAUGAAAAGAUUGCAGCAACCAUACAGCUGACUGCAAGGAGCAAGGCAUUAUUAUGCAGAAUAAGUGGUGUUAGAGCACCAGAAAUAUCCUUAGGAGCGGUAGGACUUUCUACACCGGGAGCUGCCUUCCUUGGCUUUCCCAGUUCGGGUGCAGGAGCAGGAGCAGGAGGCUUAGGAGUAAAAAUGUCCAAAGGAAAUAGCACCUUAUCAAUUUGAUAAAUAGCAAACUGGCUAUCAGUGUAUACGGUGCCGGAUAUGCUUGUAUUUGUCAGCCCUGUAGUUAUGUUCACGAAAUUCCCUGUGGUGGUAACAUUCAGUGUUACCCUGGGACCCGUUCCCGCCUGUGUCCUUACAGGAUUACUGACAGUCUGGAAUUGGGAAGAUGAUAUAAGUGCAGGUAGUACAUGAAACUUCACCAACUCAGUCUUGUCUUCAUCGCUUAGAGCGUUUAGAAAGCCCGCUUUGAGGUUCGAAAAUGCGCUGUCACUUGGUGCAAAGAUUGUUAUUCCAUUGUUUGUCUUGUUCAGCUCCUUGUUUAACUCAGUGUCUUCUGUUGUAGCUUGCAUUAGGCGGACGAAGACAGUGAAGUGGCCAGCCUUUUGCAGGAUUUUAAUGACGUCAACGGGGCCAGGUGAUGUUGCUACCUGUGCAGAUGGUGCCUGUGAAGGGGCCGUAGGCGGUGCCUUCACUGGGGUCGUAGGUGGUGGCAUUACCGGGGCUGCCGCCGGUGACUGACCUGACGUUUUUGUACAAUGGAGAAAGAAAAGGAUAAGAGAGAAUAAUAAGCUUGAAGAUUGUUGCCUCAUCCUACACUCCUUGGGAAGAAUGCGAAAAUGUUCCAAAUCUUAAUUGGAUUGCUACAAGCAAAAAUGUUUGAUGUUGUGAUUUGAGGAGGACAGGGAGGGUUGGUUUUAAUAUUGGUGGAGAGAGAAUCAAGUUAGGUGCAGUGUGUAAUGUCAGUCACACAAGCACAGAAACUAGUUAUCCUUCUGCUAAAGGUACAGAGCAUCAAUUCGAGAGAGAGUACUGGCAGCUUGUAGUUAGCAUGACAAAUCAGGAAAACUAAGAGGAUGUUUCAAGCAGGUGUGCAGACAAACAAUUUAGACAUGAAUCUAGAUGGAGAUUGUCUUGUCCGUGUCAAACAGGAACCAUAGCUAUAUUAUUCACAUAAUCCUAUGGCCAUGAUUUAAUUAAUUACCUGAAGAAAGUGCACACUUCACUUUUUUGGUUUUUUUUUAAUAUGAAUAUUCAUAUUAAUUUUUACAUAACUCGAUUAAUUUUACAGGUUUUAAUAAUAAAUAGAUUCCACGACGAUCAUGACGCAUAUAGUGCAUGCAGGUUCCUUUUUUAAGAUUUUAUUCACCGGCUGCAGUUAAUAGUGUUUUUCAAGUAAUGAUGGAUAAAUCAAUCGAUUUGUUGCUAUAAAUAUAUUGGAAUAAAUCCUUGAGUUCUAAUUAAAUCAAGUUUUUAUAGCUAUAUAUAUUGCAACGAAACUGCUCCUCAACAUACAAAUAUUAAAAUUACAUUGGAAGAGAAGAAGUAUAGAAAAGAAGGGAAAAAACUUGAAAACAAAAAAUUAAUAACCUUACAUUAAAAAAAUAAUUCUGGAAGGAUUUCAAUGAAUUAAUAACCCAAACAAGGACAAGAAGUUAAGUUGAGGUAAACAAGCUUAAAUGAUACUUGUAACAAAAAAGCAAAAGUUAGAACAAUAUAAUAUCUAGCUCUUUUUUUUUUUUUUUAUCAAGCAUGGAUUGCAUUUAAUGUUGCUAAUUUAAAAAGCUUUAUAAAUAUGGUUGAAACAAUUAGAAGAUAUGGACCAAAUUUGAAACAUUUUAGUUAUCAUGAACUUCAAGUUCCACUCUUUAAUUAAAAAAAGUGUUGGAGUAUACACAAAUAAUUUAAUGAAAGGAAAUAUAGAAAAAUAGGUAAAAUAUGGUUGUUCCAUUAUGUCAAAUGGAUGGACAAAUAGGAGUAUAAGUAUAAUCAAUUUUAUGGUUAACUUUUAUUUAGGUUCAUGUUUAUUAAAUCUAUUAAUGGAUCAUUUUUUGUAAAAUCUAGUGAGAAGACGUUUGAGUUGAUAGAUUUGUAGAGCAAAUUGAAAAAAUCAGUGUUGUCCAAGUAAUCACCGACAAUGGAAGCAAUUAUAUGCUAGCCGGUAUGUAGUUAUUAAUUAAUUUAUUAAUUUGCAUGCUGUAAUUUAGAUUUUUAUUUCAGUUAUUUGAUUAAAUAGGUUAUAUUUCUAAAAUUUCAUGUUUGGAUUUUUUUAUUACAAAUAAGUAAGUUGUUAGAGGUAAAGAGAAAGCAUUUGUAUUGAACUCUAUGUGUGGAUCUUAUGUUAGAAGAUAUUGGAAAAAUUCCUCAAGUCAAGAAAACUUUAGAAAGAGCCGUUAUUAUUAUUGGCUUUCUUUGAAUUUACAAAGAAGAGAGAGUUGGUGAAGCAUUGAGCAACUCGAUUUGCAACAAGUUUUCUUACUUUGCAACAAGUAUACAAGCAAAAGCAUAAUCUUAGAAACAUGUUUACAUCAGAAAAGUGGGCAAUGAGUAAAUGGGCAAAGGAAGCUAAAGGAAAAGGAGCAACUAAAAUCAUUUUGAUGCCAUCCUUUUGGAAUCAUGUGGUCUAUAUCCUUGAUGGGUCAUCUUGUGAGAGUUCUUCAGCUUGCAGACAAUGAGAAAAACAUACAUUUAUGAAGCUAUGGAUAGGGUUACAGAAACAAUCCAUAACUCUUUUCAAUAAUAAUGAAGAGAAAAACAGACAAAAAUAUGAUAUCAUUGAUGAAAAAUAGGAAUGUUAACUUCAUCAUCCAUUGCAUGCAAUAGGCCAUUACUUGAAUCCUGAAUUCUUUUAUAGUGAUUCAUCUAUUAAAACUGAUCAAGAAAUGGCCAAUGGGUUGUAUCAAUGCAUUGAAAAAUUGGUUUGAUAUCAGCGGCGGAACCAAAGGGAGGCCCCAAAUUUUUUUUUUAAAAUAUAAUAAAUAAUAGAUUGUUUAAUAUUAAAUUAUUAUUUUAUUAAUUAUGUUUGCUUUUAAAGCCAUAUCUCCGUAUCUCUAUGUAAAAGGCCAAAUAAGCUUUUUAAUUUUUUUCCCUUCCUUUACUGCCCCUCUCUCUUUCUUCUCUUAAUCUCUUAAACCCUAACAUAAAAUAUUACUAAUACGAAGCAUAAAGGUAAAGCAAAGCUGCUGCCAAUUAAUUCUUCAUCAAGGUAAUUAGUAUUUUUUUUUUGUUUGUUAAGAAUUUAAUAUAUAUAUAUAUAUAUAUAUAUAUAUAUAUAUAUAAUUCUGCCUUUUUUCUUCAAAUCUACUAGUUUUACUAUUUUUUAUUUCUUGUUAUAGUGAAUAUUGUUUUUUCUAAUUAAUUGGAUAUAUUUUAUGGGUUUGUUUGUUUCGAUUAUGCUUGGAUUUUUUAUGUUUUGUUUUUAGCAGAGCCACCAAAAUUAUCAAUUUUUUCUUACGUGUACUUUACUAUCACCAGGUCCAAUAUACAAUUAGACACGAUCUUUCUAGCCAAAUUGAGUUCUUUGAAGAGCGUAUACUCAACUUUGAUUCAGUGUAAGUUUUCUUAUUUAGGAACCAGUAAUCCUAUUUUUUAUGUUAGAUAUGCUUUUAUAUAUCAAUUUCUUUUUUUAAUAUGUUAAUUUUACUUUUAUAUGUCAGUGUUGUUUACAUUUAAAAAUUUAUUUUUGGUUCUGAUUAUUGCUUCAAUACAUUGUUAUUUUUAUUUAUUUUUUAAAUAGGAAACAAUAAAAAUUUAUGAUGUUUUGAUUUUAGGUUGAACCAUGAACAAAAUAAGAAGAAUUGAUUCCUUUUUUGAGAAAAAGAGGAAAAAUAUUGAUAACUCACAGCCUAGUGAAUCAACUCCAAUGUGUAAUGUUGAAGUUAUAGUUGAACAACCCCAAUGUGCUUCAGUUUAUGAAGAACCUGCAUUGAUUAAUGAGCAGCCUCCAACUAGAAUCGACACUGCUCAUCUGAUUAGAGAUCCAAACAAUCGUCCUCAAAUUUAGGAAUACCCAGUUAAUCAACAAGAUGAAAUUAGAAGGGCAUACAUUAAUUUGGGGUCAUAUCAACCUUUGAUGUCUGAAUAUCCGCUGACUGGUAAAAAACAUCCUCGUCGAUUUCAGUCUCAUUGGUUCAAAAGUUAUCCAUGGCUUGAAUAUUCAGAGAAAAAUACUGCAUUUUGUUUUCCUUGCUAUCUAUUUUCAAGUAAGUCAUCAGGAAAGCCAGGAUCAGACACAUUUACUGUUAAAGGAUUCAAUUGUUGGAAAAAAAUUUUAUUGAUGGGGAACGAUGUGCUUUUUUAACUCAUAUGGGAAAAAGUCCGAAUUCAGCUCAUAGAUUUGCUACCAGGUGCUUGGAAAAUUUGAAAAAUCAGUCAUGUCAUAUUGAGAAGGUAGUUAAGAGGCAAACUACUCAAGAAAUUCUAAAUAAUCGAUUGCGUAUUAAAGCUUCAAUAGAUAUUGUUCGUUGGCUCACAUUUCAAGCAUGUGCUUUUAGAGGACAUGAUGAACGUCCAGAAUCAAAAAACCGAGGUAAUUUUCUUGAAAUGUUGGAACUUUUAGCAUCAUACAAUGAACAAGUAGGUGCUCUUGUUUUGGAUAAUGCUCCACAAAAUGCUAAAUACACCUCGCAUCAAAUUCAAAAAGAAAUUUUGCAUGUCUUUGCUAGAAAUGUUCAGUCUUCAAUUCGUCAUGACAUUGAUGAUGCAAGAUUUUGCUUAAUUGUUGAUGAAGCUCGAGAUGAAUCCAGAAGAGAGCAAAUGACCCUUGUUAUAAGAUUUGUUGAUAGAAGUGGAUUUAUACGAGAACGAUUUUUGGAUAUAGUUCAUGUCAAAGAUACAACUGCUUCAACUCUUAAGAAAGAGAUUUCCUUUGUUUUAUCUCAUCACAAUCUUGAUGUUCAAAAUAUUAGGGGCCAAGGGUAUGAUGGUGCUAGUAAUAUGCGUGGAGAGUGGAAUGGAUUGCAAGCUUUAUUCAUUAAUGAUUGCCCUUAUGUAUAUUAUGUACAUUGCUUAGCUCAUCAAUUACAAUUGGCUCUUAUUGCUGCAGCUAGAGAAAUAUCUGAUGUUCACACUUUCUUUCAGAACUUGAUUUUUAUUAUUAACAUUGUUAGUGCUUCUUGCAAGCGUAAUGAUGAAUUACGGGCUUUUCAAGCAGCUACAAUUGAACAUUUAGUUGAUAUUGGUGAGAUUGAAACGGGUAAAGGAGUUAAUCAAGUAGGUGGUUUGCAACGACCUAGAGAUAGCAGAUGGAGUUCGCACUUCAAAUCAAUUUGCAGUUUGAUAAAAAUGUAUGGGGCAACUUGCUUGGUUCUUGAAAACAUCGCUUUAGAUGGAUCUACUUAUUAUCAACGUGGUGAUGCGGCCUUUUCAUUUAAGUUGCUAAUGUCAUUUGAUUUUGCAUUCAUCUUGCAUAUAAUGAAGAAUGUUAUGGGAAUUACUGAUGUGCUUUGCCAAGCUUUGCAACAGAAAUCUCAAGACAUUUUAAAUGCUAUGCAUUUGGUGACUACCACAAAGACUUUAAUUCAGAAGUUAAGAGAUGAUGGCUGGAAAACUCUUUUAGAAGAAGUGAUAUCAUUUUGUAAGCAUCAAGACAUUGAAGUUCCUGAUAUGGAUGCUUGUUUUUCUAGUGUGGGACGAUCUCGUCGUAAAACAAAAUCAAUAACAGUUGAGCAUCACUAUCGAGUUGAUAUAUUUACAGCUAUCAUUGAUCAACAGUUGCAAGAGCUAAAUAAUAGAUUCAAUGAGCAGGCGAUCGAGCUUCUUAAGUUGAGCACAGCUUUAGAUCCUAAAAAUAACUAUAAAUUAUUCAGUGUUGAAGAUAUAUGCUUACUUGUUGACAAGUUCUAUCCUGAAGACUUUUCUGACCAAGAAAAAACUCAUUUGAGAUUUCAGUUGCAGCAUUAUGAGCUUGAUGUACCCAAUCAUCCAAAGUUAAAGAAUAUGUCAUCGAUUGCUGAAUUAUGUCAAGGAUUGGUUGAAACAGAAAAAUCAACAAUUUAUCCACUUGUUGACAGGUUGAUUCGGCUUAUUUUAACUCUUCCUGUUUCGACAGCAACUACUGAACGAGCUUUUUCAGCGAUGAAGAUUGUUAAAACAAGACUUCGCAAUCAGAUGGAGGAUGAUUUUCUUGCAAAUUAUUUGAUUGUCUAUAUAGAAAAAGAAAUUGCUGAAAGAUUCACAAGUGAUAUGAUAAUCGAUGAUUUCUACUCUAUGAAAGAACGACGAGCACAAUUAAAAUAAAUAUGUAAGAAUCAUUCUUUAUUAUUUUUUACUUUAUUUCAAAGUUUUAUCAAACAUAAAUAAUACAUCGCUUUAGCUAAUGUUUCUUAUAUAUUUUGUAUGUUUAUAUUUGAUAGGUACAAAGACCAACAAAAUUAAAGUGAUGAAUAUAUUAUGAAGAUGAAAUUAACUUCAUAGCUUUGACUCAAUUUGGUAUUGUUUUAAACCUCUUAUCUUAUACAAAGAUUGUCAUAUGUUUGUAGUUACUUCUUUGAAUAAAACUAAAUCAUACAGUUUUUUUUAACAAUUCAUAUACAAUAAAUUAAAAAAAAAUUAUAUAUUUUUAUAUUAUUUUGGCCCCCCCUAUCAAAUAAUCCUAGCUCCGCCCCUGUUUGAUGUUCAAGAUAUAAUCACGAGUGAGUUGUCAGUAUACAAGCGAGUAUACAAGCGAGCAAAAGGACUUUAUGGCAAUUCGAUUAAGAAACACAGUCUCUGGAUAACAUUUAUUAGUUUCUUAAAAAAAUUAAGAUUAUUACAUUCAACCCUUAAAAAUUUAAAUUAUUUGUUCAUAAUUUUUACAGCUGAAUGGUGGACCUUGUUUGGAAGUUCCACUCUAGAUUUACAAAAAUUACCUGUUAAAAUCUUGAGCUUAACUUGUAGUGCAGCGGGUUGUGAACGUAAUUGGAAUGUGUUUGAACAUGUAAGCACUUUGACUUUUUUCUUAUUAUUCUUUUAUCAUAAAAAAAAUGAAUUGAUCUUAACUCUAUUGUACAUUGUAAUUCUACAGAUUCGCACAAAGAAAAGAAAUCGACUAGAGCACAAAAGAUUACAAGAUUACAGGAUUUAGUGUGUUAAAUACAAUCAGGCACUAAAAGCUAGUCAUGAUUUGAGGAAUGUUAUUGAUCUUAUUUCCUUACAAGACAGACAUAUUGCAAUGAAUGGUUGGUUGGGACGAUGGGUGCUAAUAUAGAGAAAAUAUUGUGAUAGUAGAUGAAUUGUUUGAUGGAGACACUUUAACUUGGGGUGAUGUCGCAAGGGCAACAAGAGAUGAAGAACCAAGAACCAAAACUAAUUAAAAGACAAAGUUGAGAAGCAUAGGAACAUCGCACAUGAAGAAAGAUCAAGUUCUAGUUUUAAGCAAGUGCAAUAUGGUUUUGGAGAUGAUGAUUUGGAUUACAAUCAUGAAAUGAAGGAUAAGAAGGACUCAAGUGAAGGAGAGGAAAGCAUAGAUGAAGAUGUUUUUGAAGAUUAAUGAAUAAUGAUGAUGAUAUUUAAGUUUGUAUUUAAAUCUAUUUAGCUAUUUACUACUUUAAAUUAUUGUAUUUUGUUGUAAGAGUGAAAAAUGUAACUUUAUAUAACUAUAUUAUGGUAUUUUAUAUUUUCUUUUGAUUUUCUAAUUAUCUAAUCUUAAUUGGUAUAUAUUUUAGAUUUAUAUAUCAUAAUAUAUAUUAUAUUACAUGUAAUUUUUCAUAUACAGGUUGAGCAUCUUGGUUCAUUCGGGAAUGCUCCUAGCACCUCAAGCAUUCUCCAGGCUUGGCCUUUUUUAGUGGCUUUCACCUUUAACAACACUGCUACAAGGCAUAUAGUGUAUACACUAACAGGUAAAUCCACAGCCAAGAGAACAGAACAGGUAAAACAGUUCUAUCAAAUUUGAAAUAUUUAUCACAAUGAACGAUUCACUUAUUUGAUCUACCAUGAAACCAGAUCGAAGGGAAGAGAGUAUUUCCUAUGAACCAGAUCUUAUGGAGAAGCACUAGAUUCUCCAUGCAGACACUCAUAUCAAGGGACAUCCAGGUUUUGGAGGUGGAUUUGGGAAGGGUUUUUACCGGUCUGGCAUGUCCGAAAAACAAUACCUUGUGGACUUCUAUAUAAAAACUGUCUCUGUCAGACUAGGUCUAAGCAAACAGCCCACUAAAAAUUAUACAGACUAAAGCAAUGGAUACACUUAAUAUCAAAAAGGAUAAUAACAGUUAUGUUGAGAUCCUAGAGCAAAUCAGAAGGUUCAGAUAACAUCGAGGAUAAAGAGAAAAUAAGCCAUGUCAUGCAGCUUGUUUAAAAUUCCAAAAUAUUACAAGAAAAUAAGCCAUGCCAUUCAAGUUGUUUAAAAUUCCAAAAUAUUACAAGUGAGGUAAUAUAUUAUUUGAGUUUUAAUCAUAGUCAGCCUCAGAACAUGUCCCAUAAAAUGAUUUAGAACUAUUGCAUGUACAUGGCUCAAAACUUGAUAUAAAUGUUCAAUCAAUAGCAAUGAAACUAAUCCAAAGUCUUAAUGCCUACGUGAAUUAAGAGAAGCAACCAGAGGUCCAAAUGUCUGGUCCACAGCUUUGUUCCAAGAAAGUUCGAACUCUGAACGAAAUUGCUUUCCAAAUAUGGGCUCUCUCAACUGUCAGAAAAUCGAAGUUAAGACUAUUAGAAAUUUAUGAACACAAAGGUUUGACUUUUCAAAGGAAAUACAGUUGAAUUGAGCUUUUAUGAUAGCUAAUAUAUUUAAUGGUCAAAAGUUUCCAUUAUCAUAUGGGAAGGAAGACCCACACCAGAUAUGAAAACACAGAAGUAUGCAUGGCAGGUUACAGCAUAUGAAAGCACAGAUCUCUUCUUGUAGAUAAAAUUUCUAUCACAGUUCAGUGAAAAACUCUGUUAAGAGACAAGUGUGCCAUCUGACUAAAGACAGAGUCGAAGAAAGCAUCUUCAAUCAAGGCGUAGGUACAAUUGUUGUCUAUUGAUGAUGAAAGAGGUCUGUAAAUCAUUUUAAACACCAAAUGUAACAGAAAUACUAGACUCUAAUGCCAUUUGAGACCCCCAGUAUCCUUGUAUCUCACUUGACAAGGAGCUCAAUCACAUCAGCAAAACACCUCACACAUCUAGAUAAUUAUCUCCUUCAACAUGUUGGUGGGGGGCAGAGAUUUUUUUUGAAAAUUAUUACCGUUAGAAAAAAAAUAUUGGCAAAAUAACACAUGUUAAAAAGUCAAGAUUCGAAAAAGCAUUGUCCAAAGAAGAGAGGUGGCUCACUUGACUUUGAAUGGCAUGAGUAGCCCACUUCAGUCACUAUUGAUGAACUUUUUAGUGUCGUUGAAUUCGUUUGUCGACAUUUUUCCAUGGGUACCAGGGGUGUCGUCAUCAAAGCUUCAAUGCCUCAGGAGUCCAUUCUUUCUUUUUAUUUUCUCUCUCUUCAUUGGAAUUAAUGUCAACCUAUUUUAACCAUUUCUUUUCCAACAACAACUAUUUUAAAUAUUGUUAUUCUCAACCGUGAUAUUUACCAAAUUGUGUUAUUUGCCAAAACUUUUCUAUCUAUAUUAUUUUGCCAAUAUUUUUUCCAAACUAUGAUAGAAAGGAAAUUUACUCAGGGACAGGAUGUCAACUUUUGACAAAUUUAAGCUUGCAGAUAGAGCUUUGGGUUCAUAUAGACAGCUCAGCCCUGAAAUUGCCAUGAUGGUUCCAAGGAACACAAUUUCUAAAAUCUAAUUAAAUUUCUUCCCACUUUUAGUUCACAGAAGGAGAUGACAGAAAAAUUGACAUUUUUGGGCCUUGGAAAAAAGCUUAUUUGUCCAUGAGCUAGUCUACUUAAUAUAAAGCAACAAUGAGAAAUGAGUUAAAAUGUUGAGUUUGUCUUAUGGGCAAUAAAUUUUAAAGAGACAUCUGAUUGGUUCCAUGAGUUGAUUGAACAUCUCAAAAACCUGAGAAGCAACAAAAAAUACUCUAGUAAUGAGCAACCUUCCCUUCUAAACGAACCAAGCUAAAAUUCCAAUCAGGUUAUAUUUAAAGUGUGAUGAUACACAGGAUCUGUAGGUCUUAAUAAUUUCUGUUUAAGCAUUGAAACGCCUUCCUUGGCACAGCUCGAUCUUGGGUUCUUAGUUAGUGUGUUUGAAGGUCCGAAAUGCACCGUAGUAAUUCUAAAGUAUCAAUAAGGACCAUAUUUCAAUUCUAGCAACCAAAAGUCUCGUGCAUCAUAGAACUGAAAUCCAAGUUUUGGUGACGAUAUGCAUAUAAUAAAAAUGCACUCGUAACAGAUUAUUAUGUUAUUUAUGUAAGUAUCAAACCCCCCGUGAUCCAACUGAUAAAAUGAAGACGAACAAAGUCUCUUGUGGCAUUAGUAUUACCAAGCAACUUUGUGUUGCAUCAGACAAUUCUAGAUGGUGUUAUUGUGUGUGUAAACUACUAACCUAUCUCUUGAAGAGAAUGCUUGGGGAGGACCAGAUGUGGAAGUAUUUCAGACAAUUCAACAAGCCCAUCUCAUUAAUAAAUUUAACAGAAGAAAUUGCAUGUCCUAAUCCAGAUAACUCUCUCAUUUUGCAACUAAUUUAAAGACACACUGCCCCUCCCUCCCAUGCAUGGAAAUAAUAAGGAAUCCAAUUUCUCAGAGAUUGAUUGUUCUCAUAAACAAGAUUAUUGAUAAAAAUAAAAUUCAAGCAAAUGACGAAAGAAUCUACUAGGGAUUCCAUUUUCAAGAAAAUAAUUUCAAAAACAACCUGGGAUUGAGGAUGUUCGGGUGAAAUAGAUUGAUAGAUGCGCUUUCGUUGCUCAUAAACAAUGAAACCCGCAAACGCAGCUCCCAAUGCCGCGCCCAGCAGACGCUCCUGCCAAUCCCCAACAACAACAAUAUAUUAUUAUAUGAGCAUAAUAACUUGUUGAUUUAGAAGAAAGAAAGAAAGAGUGGAUUAUUACUUGAGCUAGGAUGCUGAUCAUGGCGCUGCUGUAUUGUAGUAAUAAUUUGUUAGAUUUUGAUUUUGCAGAAAGAAAGAACGGGUUGUCUGCCCUGUUCUGCUUGUUCGGGUCGACAAAAACACAACACAGAAGCUACACCACCUAUCCCAUUAACUUGUGCACUAUGGGCCUUCUUUUGCUUUGGCCCAGCCUCCUCUAGUCUCCCACAACUAUGCCAAUAGUUUAGCGGAUCAACUUGAAAACUUUCAACUCGACUUUUUUUUUUAUCCCGAGUUUCAAAUUAAAGUUUCAAAUUAAACUUUGUAGAAGUUAUUAUAAUGUGAACUAAUUGACUUGAAAAAUUCAAAAGUAACCAGAUAACUGGUAAAAACUUGGUUUGCCUUUUACAAAAAAUUUAAGAUGAUAUUUUUAAAAAAUACAAUAUUGAGUCGACAACUUACUAGAUCGACCUGGGUUUCACGACUUAAUCCUCCAAACCCACAACCCAAGUCCUAGACUCCUUUUGGUUUAAUAACUUUAUUUUCUGAAACUAUUUUUAUUUAAUUAUGUGAUAGAAAAAAUAAAUAUUCGCAAAAUCAAGCACUAACUCGACGUCAGGAAAUUUGUUAGAAACCAUGAUAACCUCAUUUAAAAAAAUAUAGGAAUUCACUUAUAAUUGUUCUAAAAAUAUAUUUAUUUUGAAUUUUCAUCUUUGUCUUUUUAACCAAAUAAAUUUUCAUCUUUGUCUUUUUAACCAAAUAUAUUUUUACCUUUUCUAUAAUUAUUUCUUCUAUUUUGGGAUAUUAACCAUAUGCAUCCCUAAAAUUCACUCAAUUUUAAGAUAGUUAAAAGAACAAUAAAUCUUUUUAUAUACAAUAUUUUCUUUUCCUACAACUUAAUGUAUCAAUUCAAAAGUUUAAAACUUUUCCCUUAUGGUCAUAUAUUUUAAAUUUUCAUAUAUACUAAUAGUUAUAAUGCAUAAUAAACUUUCAUUGUAACAAAUUUUGACAAUUAGAUCAUGCAACAAUAUCUUAAAUUUAAAAAAAAAACAUGAACCCUUUAAAAAAAUGUUCAACACUUAGAUGAAAAUAUAAAAUUAAUAUUUUCAUCCACAAUGCAUACAAUUUUUUAUUUUUAUUUUUGACAACUUGAAAUAAAUCACUUGGAACUCAAUACCUUUUUUUUCCUCUUCGAAUAAAACAAAUUUAUAAAAUAAGUUGCACAAACAAAAAAUAAUUGUAGUUAAAUUCUACUACAUAUGAAUGAAAAAUCUUGCUUGAAUAAGGCAGUGUUUGUUUUUGCAGUCCAAAUAUGUUUUUAAAAAAAUUAAAAUUUUUUAACCCAGGAGUUUGGAUCUGGCAAACUCAAGCACGGGUCUGGAAGACCUAGGUGUAGGUCUGGCAUGAUUGCCAGACCCACACGCAUGAGCCUAACAACUAUGCUAGAUCCAAUCAUCUUGGGUUUGGCAACCAUGCCAGACCCAAGGUACUUAGGUAUGACAAACAUGCCUGAUUUGAGAAACAAUAAACAAAAAUGACAAUUGUACACUUUAGUUGCCACGAGAGAGAAAAGAAAGAAUAAACACUAAUAAUUGAUCACUAACGGCAAUUCAAUCAUUAUCUAUCUGCAUGCGCUACACCAUGUGGAAGAGGGCACAGUUGUGCUUCCAGUUUGAUGGCGAAUGGCUAGAUUUGAACACCGGGAAGCAUCAUACGCGUCUCCUUAAUGGCGCGGGCGCCGCCCACUAGUAGGGGUGUGAGGAACACGCACCCAUAACUUUUCAAUUAAAAAAUAAUAAAUACAUCGUGAAAAUACUAAAAUGCCCUCAUGGUCCUCUUAAUUACAUAAAAUACUCAAGUAAAGAUACCAAAAUACCCCCAAAGGCAAAACUUUUUUUUUUGUCUUUUCUGAGGCUAAAAACGCUAUUUGACUAUAUUUGAAAAUUGAAAAAACCUAAAUACCUUUGUAGAGAAAAGCUAAAGAAACGUUUAUUCACUUGUGAAAAGAUGAGAAAUUAAAAGUGAAAUCACUAUUACAAUCCACAAUAAAAGAUCAUGCGCUCCGCAACAGGUUAAUAUCAAUUUUGUUUUAAAAUUUAAAAAAAUAUUAAGAGUAUGGAGAAUGUUUUAAUAAUGUUAUUAAACUUAAUAAAAUGGAUUAAUUUUUAAACUUUCACUCAACUCUUUGCCAGACCCAAGUAACACGGGUCUAACAACCAUGUCAGACCCAAGCAUAGACCCAGGCUACUUAGGUCUGGCAACCAUGUCAGCCCACGCGACUUGGGUUUCGUACCCAUGCCAGACUAGAGCGCUUAGGCCUGGUAAUCAUGUCAGACCAUAGUUAUGAAACCCGACCUGGGGGUUAACCCGGCCAAGGGACGGGCCUCGGGUAGACUCGGGAAAAAAAAUUGAUGUUUUAAUAUUUCAUAUAAAAAAAUUAAAAAACAAUCCAUGUGGAUAUAAGCUAAAAGAUUAUUUCAAAAAGUUUUUUUAUCCCAUAUUGAAAAGAUAUUAUCUUAUCCUAUUAAGUUGAAGUAUUUAAACCAAAAAAGUUUUUUUAUCCCACAUUGAAAAAACAAAAAAAAAUUUCUUGUGAACAUAAAGUAUAUAUAUUAAUGGGUUUCAAAUCUCACAUUGACAAAAUAAAGCAUUCUUCUAGUAUUUAGAUAAUGAACUUUGAUAUGGGUUAGUAACCAACUGAAAAAGAUGAAAAAAAAGUGGUAUUUGACUAGGAGGAAAAACACAUUUAAAAAAAAAUAGGUCUCUACCGGGUUCUGCUGGGUCACUCGAGUCCCAGGUUGACUAGCUGAGUUGGGUUGAGUCUGAUAACUAUGCUUAAACAAUAAAAAGUGAGCCUGAGAGUGUUAAUUAUAAUUAAUUUCAUUCUUCUCUUGUUUAAUAAAACUAGUUAAUUGAUUCUUAAAUUUUUAAAAUAUAGAUUUAGGUUUGUUUUUACACUAUUAUUUUUUAAUUUUUUGAAUUUUAUUUUUGACCCAAGCGUCUGGGCCUGGCAACCAUGUCAGGCCCAAGCUCAUGGGUAUUGCAUGGGUGCCAACCUGCCAGUCCUAAAUGCAAGGGUCUGAAAUGGUUGCGAGGUGCAGACGUUUGGAUCUAGCCCCAUGAGCUUGGGUCUGGCAGCCAUGCCAGACCCACGUGCCUCGGCCUGGCAUGACCCAAGUGUCUGGGUCUGGCAACCAUGUCAGACUCAUACGUCUUUUUUGAAAAUAUAGGAAUUCACUUAUAAUUGUUUUAAAAACAUAUUUAUUUUAUAUUUUCAUCUUUGUCUUUUUAACCAAAUAUAUUUUUAUCUUUUCUAUAUUUCUUUCUUCUAUUUUGAGACAUUAACCACAUGCAUCCCUAAAAUUCACUCAAUUUUUUUUAUUAAUCUCUAAUUUUAGUGAAUAAAUCAUUUAUAAAAUUGCACAAAUUAAGAUAGUCAAAAGUAUAAUAAAUCUUUUACAUAUACAAUAUUUUCUUUUCCUACAACAUAAUGCAUCAAUUCAAAAGUUCAAAAGUUUUCUCUUUUGAUCAUAUAUUUUAAAUUUUAAUAUAUACUAAUAGUUAUAAUAUAGAAUAAAUUCUCAUUAUAACAAAUUUGGAUAAUUAGAUCAUGCAACAACAUUUUAAAAUUAAAAAAGCAUCAAUCCUUUAAAAAAAUGUAUAGCACUUGGAUGAAAAUAUAAAAUUAAUAUUUUCAUCCAUAAUGUAUACAAAAAAUUAAAAAAUUGUUAUAAUGAUGAGUUUUUUAUUAUAUUAAAAUAUUAUUCUUAAGUACGAGGAAUAUAACAACUUAUGACCGCUUAUAUUGAAGUGUUUCAACCAACCAAGCUGCAACAUAAAAUUAUUAUAAAAUAACUAAAAAAUAUAUUAACUUGGUUGACUGUCACGUGAUCGUUAAACCAACUCCAUAUAUUUUAGUUGGCUUGUUAAUUGUUAAUGGGACUCUGCACUCUUGCAUUCAACUGCACGCGAUGUGUUUGGAGUUUUACCAGCUAGGUUUCCUGCCAAUCCUCUUCUGUGCUGUCCUGUUAACUUGUAAUUAUACCCAAAUGGAUCUUCAUCUUCUGCAAAUAAAUGAAGUGGAAGGUAAUGAUGCUAUAUGAGAUAAUGGUUCUUGAUUUAUAAUACUGAAUCCAAUCUGAUCAUUAUCACGAAUAAAUGAAAGAAAUCAAAUGUGUAAUCCAUGCCUCUCAAAAUGUGGUGUUCAUCAGAUCAGCUGUUACACAUCUAUUCUAACUAAAUUUUAGUAGUAUAUGGUAAUGAAAUUUAAUGUAAUAUAAUGAGAACAGAAAAUUGUUAGUGUAUGCUUUUUUAAGUACUCUGAACAGGGAAAAAAAUGAAGGAAAUUGUUGAGUGUACGUGUGGGUAAACCUUACAUGACCUGUAGGAGUUAUGAUCAAUAGGGAGAUCUUUUAAAGAUUUAUUUGUAUAUUUUCUCCGGAAUGGAUUAGUCCAGUCAGGUCGUCGAACGAAAUAGGCAACCAUUCCUGUGGAUUCAUAGAGUUUUUUUUUUUGGUUUAUGAUUUGCUAUCCUUAUGGUUGUGAUGGCAGCAUGCCCUUUUUCAAGGUGUUUUCAUGGUUUCGUUCAUGCUUGACUCUGAAUCACUUCUCUCUAACCCAACACCUUAAAAUUCUGGAUCCUGUGAGUGGACUUUCUACGGCUUGGAUUGGAUGUUAUCUUCCUAACUGCACUCAUAUCAUCCGAAGUUUUAAACGAACAACUUUACACACAGACACUAAAAAGAUUGAAAUGAUUAACAACUUGAUGACUAGUUAUAAUUGUAAAAUACCACGCAAUAAUCACUAAUGACACAGUAGAUAUACACUCGAUGCCCAAAAUCAGAGAGAGAGAGAGAGAGAGUUGGUAAGAGUCAUUUAGACUUAAUUAGGGGAUGGCCACAUCAAGCGUUAGGUUGAUCAGAAUUGGCUCGAUUUAUGUUGGCUUUGCGUGUGAUCGUUACAUAGUAGACUCCCAUAGUGAGAAGCACUGCAAAUGCCAAACCAAGUAUAACGCCAGCAAUACCACCAGCCCCCAGCUGAUUUCCUCCUCUCUGGGAUGUUGAUAUUUUACCUUGUGUUUGAUCAGUAUCUUCUAACUGAGCUGCUAGGGGAAACGGCGAACAACUAGACGAUGCAGCGCAUGGGUUCUCGGUAUUCGGCUCUUGUGUUUUGGGAUGGAAGAACUCAACCGCUGACGGUGAGAAAGCCACGGGUUUCUCAUAAACAAGGCCGUGAGGAGCUCUAUCCUGGGCUCUUGCGAUGAAUAGAAUGGUUAAGGAGGAGAGGCAGAAGAGAAAGAAAGAAGCUAUGGAGACCAUACUGUAUUGUUUUGUUUGCUCUGAGUAUCCAAUUCUGAGUCGAAAGUGAAGCAGCUGUAGCCUCUAGCUGAGUGAAAAUUGCAGUGUGCUUUGAACAGGCAUUUAUAAGGUCAUGUGAAGGGGGUUGUUGCUUGGUAUUGAAUUUUCGGUGAUGAAGAUCAACCGGAGAAAGGAGGGAACAAAAUGAUUUGUGAUUAUUCCAAUCCUUUCCUGGAGUAAUAUUGCCCUUGUCAAUGUCUACAUGUAAUCUGUCACAAGCUUGUUCUGUGCAUGAGUUGUUGUUCUUGGCGACGUGGCUUUCAAAAUCAUGUUACUUUGAGUGCCUUUUAAUACAAGAACUUAGGAGAGCAGGACAAGCGACGGAAGUCAUGAUUUCUUUAAUUAAUUCCUGAAAACUACUUCAGAUGAAUCCAUCAAGAAUAUAUACAAAUCUUCAAGAUUUUCCUCUCUCUUCGUGAAUAAAAAAUGGUACGCAAAUCAAAUCAAAUUCUUAUAUUUGUAAUCUAUUCCUCUCAUCUCCCCUUCGUACUCAAUUCCUCUUCUCUUCUACAAAUUCAGGUCUGAGAUUCAACUCCAACAUAAAUUAUCUUCUCCAAAAAAAAUAUUUCUUUUGUUAAAUCAUUAAUAUUUAAAAUCUCCAACAUUUUUUGCGAUUUGUAAGCAAGUCAUUAUAGCUUUUUUCAAAAUUUUCUUUAUGUGAGUUACUAUUCACAUCAGUCCUAUUUUUUUAAUAUAUAAUUAACUUUGUUUAACUUUUAUCCAAUAUGUAAUUAUUUGCCG
Molecule: long non-coding RNA, 44797 nt
Filed under: Populus trichocarpa (black cottonwood)
Lineage: Eukaryota; Viridiplantae; Streptophyta; Magnoliopsida; Malpighiales; Salicaceae
Description: long non-coding RNA (PTRI_LNC001330)
Source: RNAcentral